CUGAAAGUUACAUGAUUGUUAUUAUCGCUGGACAACAACCUAAGGAUUUGACUGUGUAAAGUGUUUAUAUUAUCCUGUGUUUGGCUCUCACUUAUUAUCAAGUGCCUUUCUGUACUGAUUACUUCUCAGAGCUACUGUUUAUAUGAUGUUGCUUUAUGUAACCUGUUUUUUAUGCAUGUGUAAUGUUUGAGGGCGGUGUAUAGGGUUAGAAGGAGUUGGAAUACAUAUUGUGAAAUGCUGGGGCAACAUAGGAGUUAAACGGUUGAUGGCAUGGGUAGCUGACGGUGAAUGUUUGGGGAUGAAGGAUAGAGGCUGAUAGUAAUUACGGAGUGAUAUGUUAUACAGAAGUUAUUAGUAUAUUGCAGUAAGGGAAGAGUAAAGGCAAAUUAGGUUUUGUUGGAAUAUUAAGCAAUGUUGAAUAUAGAAUAGUAGGAGAGGUUGGUUGCAUUUUGUGAGACAUAUCACGUUUAUUCGAUUUGUAUAUUGGUGUAUGUGGCGCUUGUAUGAUUCGCGAGAGCAUUGGAAGUAAUAAUGGGGCAUAUGGAUUGUUGUUUAUAUGGGUUUUACAAGCUUAGAUGUAGAAAAGAAUUGUUUUGCUAUGUGCAGCUUAUGGGCUGUUAAAUACUUAAUGUUCUCAACUGUCUUAUUUAAUGUCCAAAAUUGAGCAUCUCACAAAGGGAAGGUUUGCCCAGCCCCUGUGACCUCCACCCAAUUACCACUAUCUAUAGCCACGCCUACUCCUAACGUAACUUCCGCUCUUGCUAAGCCCUCACCUCGUGUCUCUUCCUUUACAACAUAUGUCAUGGCCAUCACUUCCUCCCCUGCCAUCACUUCCCUGCCAUUAUUUCCCUCCCCACCCCUGUCAUGGCUGCCUCCAUCAUGAGGCCUACCCCUGUUAUGCUCGUCCGAUUUGGUGACAUGCUGCUUUCCUUAAACUCUGCAUAUUAUGGAUAGUAAAUUGCAUGGACAGUAAAAUUAUAAUUACUAAAGCAAUCAUGCUAUUUGUUUCCCUAUUUCAGAAAUGUAUCAGAAAUAAUAUGUAAUAUAAUACAGUUACUUUAAAUCAUGGUAUAUAUAAAUAUGUGUAUAUUACAAAGAUGGUUAGACUUUGUAAAUAUCAGAAAUAUAACUGCAAAAUAUUGCUGCAAUGCCAUAUGCAGCUGCGGUCUGGCCUAUAAACGAUAUCUGUUAGAAAUAUGUAUAAGAGCAUACCAGUAGCUUCUCCAGAUGAAUGCCUAUUAAUGCCUGUAUCUUGCUGUAAGAUGUUAAAACUAAACGAUGCAGGUUCACUUAACAUCUACUGAACAAUUACUUAAAGAUUAAAUCUACGUAGUGGCCAGAUUAUCUGAUUUUAACCACGUAUAUUUACAUAAUUGUAUCAUGAUAGUUAAAAAUUGUGUAUUUACAGUAACAACUUUAAUGAAGAAUAGUGAUGCACUGAACGGUUCGCUGGUGAAUAGUUCCUGGCGAACAUAGCAUGUUCGCGUUCGCCACAGCGGGCGAACAUAUGCGCGGUUCGAUACGCCCCCUAUUCGUCAUCAUUGAGUAAACUUUGACCCUGUACCUCACAGUCAGCAGACACAUUCCAGCCAAUUAGCAGCACACCCUCCCUAGCAGACCCUCCCACCUACUGGACAGCAUCCAUUUUAGAUUCAUUCUCAAGCUGCAUGCUUAGUGAGAGGAGAGAAAGUGUAGCUGCUGUUGAUUAGAUAGGGAAAUGCAUAGCUAGGUUAGGGUAUACAGUGUCCACUACAGUCCUGAAGGACUCAUUUGAUCUCUGCUGUAAUGUAAUUGCAGUUGCCUGCAUGCCAGCUUCUGUGUCAGGCUCACAGUGGAUACUGUGCCCAGUGCCACCACUCACUCACUGGUGUCACAAUAGCUUGCAUUUAAAAACCAAAAACUUUUUUCACCGUUAUAGAUUGAAUAGCAGUUAGUUGUCUGCCACUGCUGCCAGCUUCUGUGUCAGGCUCACAGUGGAUACUGUGCCCAUUUGCCCAGUCAGUGCCACCACUCACUCACUGGUGUCACAAUAGCUUGCAUUUAAAAACAAAAAACUUUUUUCACUGUUAUAGAUUGAAUAGCAGAUAGUUGUCUCAAAGCGGGUGUGUCAGGCUCACAGUGGAUAUUGUGCCCAGUGCCACCACUCACUCACUGGUGUCACAAUAGCUUGCAUUUAAAACCAAAAAUCUUUUUUCACUGUUAUAGAUUGAAUAGCAGUUAGUUGUCUCAAAGCGGGUGUGUCAGCCCUACAGCGUGUACUCUGCCAACCUCUGCCAGUUCACAGUGCCACUCAUAUCUGGUGUCACAGUAGCUUGCACGCAUAGUACCACUAAUCUAAAAAAAUAUGACAGGCAGAGGCAGGCCACCCCUACACUGCACAUUGGGUAAACCUUCUGACGGCUGCCAAGCAUGGAAUGCGUGGCUCUGCAGAGGAGUUGGUGACACCGCCACAACUUGCAGGCAGGCCUGCUGCCACCUCCUCUACUCCUCCUACUCCAUCCUCUUCCAUAACCUCCUUGGCUGAGUCCUCUUCUGCUGCUGCGUCUUGCUCCACAUCAACGGAUAGGGGACGUAACAGGGAUUAAACUGAUAAGAAUAGUACUAAUUAACACACCACUCCUAUCUGGUGGCACAUUAGAUUGCACGCGCAGUGCCCCAAAUUUGAAGUAGGAGGACCGACCAAGCAUCUUUUUCCAUCUCCCGGUUCCUAAAAUCGAUGCCAUAUACACGUCCCCUGAUAGGGGACAUAACAGGGAUUAAACUGAUAGGAAUAAUACUACUUAACACACCUUAUAAUAACGCAGAGAGAGGAGUCUGAAGAAGAGGAGUCAGAGGAUGAAGGUGGCUUUGAGGAGGUGGAAGACCAAACACAGCAGGCGUCCCAGGGGGCUUGUUGUCACCUUUCGGGGACCCUUGGUGUUGUACGUGGCUGGGUGAAGGAAGAGACCUUCAAUGACAUCAGUGAGGACAAGGAACGGGACAUGGCUAGCUUGGUAUCCAACCUUGUGCAAAUGGGGAGUUUGCGGUUGUGCAAAUGGACUGUUUGCGGUGCGUUAAACGGGGAGUUUGGUCUGUCACUGUGAAGCGGGCGUAACCCUUACACUAAAAAUUAAAUAUCAGAUAAAAUCCAAUAAAUUUCCAGGAGUGGUAUUCCUUUAAAUUGGCAAUAGGUUAGACAGAUAAUGAGUAACUUCUAAAAGACAGUGAUAAUAUAGUCUAAUAAAAAUUGUGCAAAUGUAUACCUAUAACUGGUUGCCAUGUAAUAAUCAAAAAGCAAGAUGAUAUUUCCUAGGACUUUAUCACUUUUUGGCACGCAUCGCAAAGAAGACCGGGCUUCACUUGGAACGCAGGGAGAUCGGUGACACGCACGCGGCUAUCAACAGGUCCAUUUAUCUGCCGGCAGACCAAAAAGAUCAAGCUGCAAACGCCGGACUCUCCAGAUUCCAGUUUAGCACCAUAAAUUCUUUGCAACAUUGUAAGUGCAUAUUCUUUUUCUCUUUUAUUCGAUUUAAUAAAUGGAUUUUAAUGCACUCAGCACUUUGAAUUUCGAUUCACGUUCUGUGAAAAAAGGGAACUUAUCUACUAAACUACAGACCAUCAACUAUGAUCUGUUAGUUACUAUACUAAGUUAUAUACCAAGUACAUCUUAUCAUAAAUUAUACUGCAGAACUUGCCAACAUAUAUAAUUCUGUACUAUAUUAAUUCAGCUUAUUCAGCAAAACACUCCAGUUCUAUUAUAACUGGAAAUAGCUGUAACAGCUCACAUAUUACAGACUGUUGUGUCAUUCAAAAAGAGACUAUUGUAUCCAUAUAGAGACAUUUUUAUAUCGCCAAGUUAUACAUGUUUUCUACUUGAUUCAGAAAUAUCAUCUUGCUUUUUGAUUAUUACAUGGCAACCAGUUAAAGGUAUACAUUUGCACAAUUUUUAUUAGACUGUAUUAUCACUGUCUUUUAGAAGUUACUCAUUAUCUGUCUAACAUAUUGCCAAUUGAAAGGAAUACCACUCCUGGAAAUUUAUUGGAUUUUAUCUGAUAUUUCAUUUUUUAUUGCAUUUAAAGGGUCUUUUUAGUGGAGCCCUUCUUUCAAUUGAGGGUUUUUUCCUUUAGCCACAUUUUAUACUCUUAUAUUAAGGUCCAUAUUUGGACCUUAUUUUCCCGUAACCCUUACACUACCUGAUCGAUACAACAUCAUACAGUAGGUCCCCCCCCUCAUUAUUUUUAUGGCCCCCACCCACUGCUCACGGGUGGGGGCGGGCUGGAGGACAGUAGGUCCCCCCCAUUGAGAUUUAUGGCCCCCACCCACCGUGCAGGGGUGGGGGCCAGGGGGGAGGACAGUAGGUCCCCCCUUAUCCUUAUUUACUGAAUAUUCCCUGUAUAACAAUGUUUGGCAUUUAGUGAAUAUUCCCUAUUCUGCUCUGUGUCAGUGUGUAUCAUGAUCUCUGAGGACAGGUGUCAAUCCAUAUCUGCCAAGUGACCCUAUGUAGGAGGAACAGUCUCUAUUCUGCUCCGUGUCAGUGUGUAUCAGGGGCUCUGAGGACAGGUGUCAAUCCAUAUCUGCCAAGUGACCCUAUGUAGGAGGAACAGUCUCUAUUCUGCUCUGUGUCAGUGUGUAUCAUGAUCUCUGAGGACAGGUGCCAAUCCAUAUCUGCCAAGUGACCCUAUGUAGGGGGACCAGUCUCUAUUCUGCUCUGUGUCCGUGUGCAUCAGGGGCUCUGAGGACAGGUGUCAAUCCAUAUGUCAAGGUGUCAAUAUGUCAUAUGUCAGGUGUCAAUCCAUAUUGAUUGUGAUUUAGGAAUGUUAGGUGAUUUCUGCCUUUAUGGAUUAAAACCAGACUCUGUAUCAACUGUGUAAUUUUCCAUGGGAGUUUUGCCAUGGAUCCCCCUCCGGCAUGCCACAUUCCAGGUGUUAGUCCCCUUGAAACAACUUUUCCAUCACUAUUGUGGCCAGAAAGAGUCCCUGUGUGUUUUAAAAUUCGCCUGCCCAUUGAAGUCUAUGGCGGUUCGCCCAGUUCGCGAACAUUUGCGGAAGUUCGCGUUCGCCAUUUGCAAACCGAAAAUUUCGGGUUCGCGACAUCACUAAUGAUGAAUAAUGUUUUAACAUUGAAGCAAGUGUAAAAUGUUUUAUUAACUCAGACACUGCUGGUUAUUCGUUUAAAUCGCGUGGUGUGGUGUUAAAUUGAGUGGUGUGAUUGAGAUAAUCUUAUUAAUAUAAGUUAAGUACUUCAGCAGUUAAUGUUUUACUGAAAGACAGGCUGCAACUUUCCUUCUCUUACCUCAAAAACCUCUAUUUAUAAUUAUAAACAUGCCACAGCUGAGGUCAUUAAAUGGAAGGUAAAAGAGUAUUAUGGAUUUACCCUUCCAGGUGUUAUUCAUGUUAACUUUCAAAAAGUAUACUCAGUUCACCGAUUGCGAACAGGUGAAAAGGUAAGAAUCACUCCAGGUUGUGCAAAAAAUUUCUCUGACUUGGGAUUUAGUGUAUUACAUGGCACAUACCCAAAGGCUAUCUGCGGCCUUCAUAGUGGAGGAGAAUCCUACCUGACUCCUCUUUUUUAUCCAUUAUUGUUGUCUCCUACAUAGGUGUAGAUGGCACUCGCUAACUGCCUUGCUAACUGAGACCUGCUUUGUUGUUUCCUCUACCUGUCUAAUCAAUGUCCUAGGUGCAGAUGUCUUUCCACCGGUUGCAGGCCUCUAUCACCUUUGUGCCUGAUAGCCAGAUUCAAUGUCUGCACCACUCUCUGCUGCCGAUACGUCCGCUCUCUGCUCCACAUGGAGAAAACCUGGCCAGGAUGCAAAGGUCCUAGACAGUUCCCCCAAUGUCUUUGCCAGAAUUCUAAAGGUCCUGAAGAGUUUGGACAACUCCAUGUUUCUCUCCCCGUUCUAGUAAAGUUGCUCCCAGGGGCCAGCCUGCCCCUUAAGCCACAAUAUUCUCCGAAGCCUGCCCAAGCUCUUGCUAUUUUCAAACGGGGUGAAGUUCUGAUGUCAAAUGGUCCCCUGGUCCCCUGUGACGCUUUCUGCAAUACCCCACUGUUCCUUGUCAUGAAGAAUUCUGUGCAGGGUGAGCCAUUAACAUACAAGACUGUUAAUAAUCCUACUGUCCUGGAAACUCUCAUUGUGCUUAAUCCCCACAUGCUCCUGUCUCGCUCUACUACCUUGCUGCAUAAGGAUGCAAAGCCUCCAAAAGGAUGCUACCAUGGUGCCGGCCCUCAGUUGUCUUCUUGGGACAUUGUCUUUCCCAUGGCACCCGUCACCUCACCCAGGACAGAGUGUGGAGAAUCACAGCUAUUUGUACAAGCCCCCCCAUGUCUUUUUGAUCCUCAUUUACUACUGCAGAACCUGGAUACCUGAGGUCUUUACCUGAAUGAUGUCCUAAAGCCUGUACCUUUUAUUCAAAGACUGAACUUUUUCUCUGUCUCCUGAAGCCUUCUCCAGCUUCUGUGCCUUGCUAUGUACUAUCACCUUGGCCCCUGCCCUGGGCCUCCCCCACUACCAAACUGUUUGAGACUGUCAUGCUACUGGUGUUCUUACACAAUCUCAUGAUUCCCACCGGUCUCCAUCCAGUGUUUGCAGCACAGGCACUCCUGGAUAAGACAAAUAAUAAGACAAAUGACUAUACCACAAGCUUACAAUCCUUGCAUGAUUUUAUUGCCAUCCUUAAUCAAGUUCAACCGAAACAUCUCCGCCUGCAGCCCACUCUCCAAUCCUCUGUUCUGCUUCCAGAUAAUGUCAAGCUGCAGAGAUGCUACUCUUUCACUGCGGCCACUCUUCUGCCACUUCCCAGGGGGGAAAUGAUACAGCCUUGACAUGGACCCAGACGUUCUUCUUGAACUACAGAUACAGAAUCCCAUGGUUCCACAUGAUGAGCAGCCACAGCCUUUACAUUACACCCUAUGGUUCAGAAAUACCCCAGGACCAGAUCCACACUACGAAAAAACUAUUCAGCCUCAAGUGGACAGUGUGGUCCUGGUCCAGUCACCCAUGGAAGUAAAACACAUGUAUCAUCACUGGGAGAUGGCUGUCCCUAAUGUUUUCUUCACUAUGUCCCCAGAAAUCUCAUGGAAGGAAAUUGAUUCAUUAGCAAAAACAUGGAACACUACGAAUCAAGAUCAGCUCUCCACAAAGGGGGGCCACCAAGAGAACUGUUCAAGACAGUUAACUACCCUCAAUAUCACAGAGAAAUAAGUGAAGAUAGCCCUCCUACUGCUCCUCAUGAUUGCUUUGUACGGAUGUAAAUGAAGACAACACAUCUCCCAUCAGUGCAUGAAGUUGCUUUGCCAAACCCUGACUUCACCCUGUUUGUGGAUGGCUCUAGAUUGCGGACGAAAAGGGAAGGCACCGUACUGGAUUUGCUGUCACUAUAGAGGAUCAAGUACUUCAAGCAUCUUCACUUCCCUCAUCCAUGUCUGCUCAAGAAGCCGAAUUAACAACCCUCACUGUAGCAUGCAAAAUGUCUGAAGGAAAGCAUGCUAAUAUCUACACUGACUCAAGAUAUGCCCUUCAAUCUGGAAGACAAGAAGAUUCUCACAGCAACUGGCACGCCAGUUAAGCACAGCACGGCUAUCAAGAAACUGAUGGAUACCUUACUUCUCCUGAAGAAGUGGCCAUACUGAAGAUAAAGGCUCACGGAAGACUGAAUUCAGAAGAAGCAUGUGGUAGCUAUCUAGCUGACCAAGCCAACAAGUCGCAAGUGCACCAAAGGAAGUGGACAGAAGAGUGUCCGCUGAAGAAACUCCCAUAUUCACCAUGUAGGUCCUACCCACAGAUCUCAAGCUCCUGAUGUAACAACAAGCAGCUGCUGACCCUGAAGGAAUACAAGGUUGGAAACAGAAAGAUGCAACCCUUAAAGACAGGCUGUACCCCAACAAUCUCAAGUUCUGUUUACCCAAGGGCAUGUAUUCAGAAGUGGUCCAGUGGGCCCAUGGAGCAUCAUACCUGUCCAAGACCCUCAUGAACUCUUUGAUCAAUAAAUACUCUGAAGCACCUAGAAUUACCUGACCAACAGUUACUACAGAUGCUGAGCCAUCCGUGCCAAGGGCAACUCAGGUAGAAAAAUGGAGAAAAGCCCCAAGCAUCUAGCCAAACCUCACCAACCAUUCCAAGAAUCCAAGUUGACUACAUCCAGAUGCCAAAGAGUGGCCGAUUCAAAUAUACACUAGUUAUAAUAGCCAUGUGUAAUGGAUCACCUGGCACCCAGACUGGGUACCUCCGGUAAAGGAUGCUCCUAGCACUUCAUUUGUUUGCAACUAACACCGUCCAUUGACAUUCAUUGAAACUUCACUCUACAAAGCUCAAAUUUGAAGUGCAAUUUCUAAACUGCGACUGUGCCUUCAUUUUUAAUACUUCAGAGACAUACUAUGCAUCAAAAUGUAGGUCUGGGUCUUGUGAUUCUCACAAUAUAAAGCUCUUCGCUGUAGGAGUUAUAGUUUUUAAGAUACGACCGUUUGAAGAUGGCAACCACCAAAAUACUCUGACCUGUGUCAAGCUGCAGCAGCAAGUGAUGUCAUAGACAGGGCCUUUUGAACACCUGCUAAUGUUUUUAUAAAUGUAUGGUUUAAUGUAACUGUGCAACAACGUUGCAAUUAAAUGUGCUAUGUAAAUGAUAACAGUUACUCCGCCCACUCCAGUUGUAGACUACUGGUGGAGGCAAGAACACUUCACACAAUUUCCCCAGAAAUUUUAACUUUUCUAGUUAAGUGUUCUUGCAUAGCAAGACCACUUAAUGUUAUCUCACAUAUAUAUUAUUAUUAUUAAGUGUUCUUGCAUAGCAAGACCACUUAAUGUUAUCUCACAUAUAUAUUAUUAUUAUUAAGUGUUCUUGCAUAGCAAGACCACUUAAUGUUAUCUCACAUAUAUAUUAUUAUUAAGUGUUCUUGCAUAGCAAGACCACUUAAUGUUAUCUCACAUAUAUAUUAUUAUUAGUGUUCUUGCAUAGCAAGACCACUUAAUGUUAUCUCACAUAUAUAUUAUUAUUAAGUGUUCUUGCAUAGCAAGACCACUUAAUGUUAUCUCACAUAUAUAUUAUUAUUAUUAUUAUUAUUAUUAUAGCAAAAUUUGCCACCCUAACUCCUCCCACAGUUUUUACACUACAUAGACAAAAUUUACCAAAACGUGCAGAUUGUUCCCGAUCGGAUUGCUAUUACUUUGUGGAACGUUUCGCCGAAUGGUUCACGGAAUAUCGUCGUUCUUGUGGCGCAAUUUGUCCCAUAGGAAUGAAUGGCAAAGCUAGAGUGGGAGCUGCCAAAAGCUGAAAAAUCAGGACAUGAUUUCUAAACUGCCACCACUCCCUUAUUUUCAGGCCCACCUACACAAAUCUUAUAUCAAAAUGUUCAGCUAUCCCUGCUGCCACUAAACAUGUCAACGGCUAAGCCGUAGUCCUGAUAGUUUUCACAAUAUAAUCAUUUGUUUGCAACUAACGCCGUCCAUUGACUUUCAUUGAAACUUCACUCUGCAAAGCUCAAAUUUGAAGUGCAAUUUCUAAACUGCGACUGUGCCUUCAAUUUUAAUACUUCAGAGACAUACUAUGCAUCAAAAUGUAGGUCUGGGUCUUGUGAUUCUCACAAUAUAAAGCUCUUCACUGUAGGAGUUAUAGUUUUUAAGAUACGACCGUUUGAAGAUGGCAACCGCCAAAAUACUCUGACCUGUGUCAAGCUGCAGCAGCAAGUGAUGUCAUAGACAGGGCCUUUUGAACACCUGCUAAUGUUUUUAUAAAUGUAUGGUUUAAUGUAACUGUGCAACAACGUUGCAAUUAAAUGUGCUAUGUAAAUGAUAACAGUUACUCCGCCCACUCCAGUUGUAGACUACAGGUGGAGGCAAGAACACUUCACACAAUUUCCCCAGAAAUUGUAACUUUUCUAGUUAUUAUUAUUAUUAUUAUAGCAAAAUUUGCCACCCUAACUCCUCCCACAGUUUUUACACUACACAGACAAAAAUUUACCAAAACUUGCAGAUUGUUCCCGAUCGGAUUGCUAUUACUUUGUGGAACGUUUCGCCGAAUGGUUCACGGAAUAUCGUCGUUCUUGUGGCGAAAUUUGUCCCAUAGGAAUGAAUGGCAAAGCUAGAGUGGGAGCUGCCAAAAGCUGAAAAAUCAGGACAUGAUUUCUAAACUGCCACCACUCCCUUAUUUUCAGGCCCACCUACACAAAUCUUAUAUCAAAACGUUCAGCUAUCCCUGCUGCCACUAAACAUGUCAACGGCUAAGCCAUAGUCCUGAUAGUUUUCACAAUAUAAUCAUUUGUUUGCAACUAACGCCGUCCAUUGACAUUCAUUGAAACUUCACUCUGCAAAGCUCAAAUUUGAAGUGCAAUUUCUAAACUGCGACUGUGCCUUCAAUUUUAAUACUUCAGAGACAUACUAUGCAUCAAAAUGUAGGUCUGGGUCUUGUGAUUCUCACAAUAUAAAGCUCUUCACUGUAGGAGUUAUAGUUUUUAAGAUACGACCGUUUGAAGAUGGCAACCACCAAAAUACUCUGACCUGUGUCAAGCUGCAGCAGCAAGUGAUGUCAUAGACAGGGCCUUUUGAACACCUGCUAAUGUUUUUAUAAAUGUAUGGUUUAAUGUAACUGUGCAACAACGUUGCAAUUAAAUGUGCUAUGUAAAUGAUAACAGUUACUCCGCCCACUCCAGUUGUAGACUACAGGUGGAGGCAAGAACACUUCACACAAUUUCCCCAGAAAUUGUAGCUUUUCUAGUCCUAAUUGCUGUACAAAAUUAACCAAUACUAUAUUUAUGAGCGAAUGUCUCUAUCCUUUAAAAAAGCAAACCAAAUCUUUUUGUGCCAUUUGGCAGCAAUGGUUAAAAUACAUUAGCAGCUUAUCGGGAACAAUCUGCACGGGAACAAUCUGCACGUUUUCGUAAAUUUUGGUCUAUGUAGUGUAAAAACUGUGGGAGGAGUUAGGGUGGCAAAUUUGGCUAUAAUAAGAAUAAGAAUAAUAAUUAAGUGUUCUUGCAUAGCAAGACCACUUAUUGUUAUCUCACAUAUAUAUUAUUAUUCUUAUUAUAGCCAAAUUUGCCACCCUAACUCCUCCCACAGUUUUUACACUACAUAGACAAAAAUUUACCAAAACGUGCAGAUUGUUCCCGAUCGGAUUGCUAUUACUUUGUGGAACGUUUCGCCGAAUGGUUCACGGAAUAUCGUCGUUCUUGUGGCGAAAUUUGUCCCAUAGGAAUGAAUGGCAAAGCUAGAGUGGGAGCUGGCAAAAGCUGAAAAAUCAGGACAUGAUUUCUAAACUGCCACCACUCCCUCAUUUUCAGGCCCACCUACACAAAUCUUAUAUCAAAACGUUCAGCUAUCCCUGCUGCCACUAAACAUGUCAACGGCUAAGCCAUAGUCCUGAUAGUUUUCACAAUAUAAUCAUUUGUUUGCAACCAACGCCGUCCAUUGACAUUCAUUGAAACUUCACUCUGCAAAGCUCAAAUUUGAAGUGCAAUUUCUAAACUGCGACUGUGCCUUCAUUUUUAAUACUUCAGAGACAUACUAUGCAUCGAAAUGCAGGUCUGGGUCUUGUGAUUCUCACAAUAUAAAGCUCUUUGCUGUAGUAUAUAUAGUUUUUAAAAUAUGACCGUUUGAAGAUGGCAACCACCAAAAUACUCUGACCUGUCAAGGCUGCAGCAGCAAGUGAUGUCAUAGACAGGGCCUUUUGAACACCUGCUAAUGUUUUAUAAAUGUAUGGUUUAAUGUAACUGUGCAACAGCGCGUUUGCAAUUAAAUGUGCUACAUAAAUGAUAACAGUUACUCCACGGUUGUAGACUACUGGUGGAGCAGAACACUUCACACAAUUUCACCCAGUGUGGCUUUCUAGUUGAUAAGUGUUCUUGCAUAUAGGACCAUAAUGUUAUCUCCACAUAUAUAUUAUUAAGUGUUCUUGCCUUGCUUAAGACUCAUAAUGUUAUCUCACUAUAUAUAUUAUUAUUAUUAUUAUUAUUCUUAUUAUAGCAAAAUUUGCCACCCUAACUCCUCCCACAGUUUUUACACUACAUAGACCAAAAUUUACCAAAGCGUGCAGAUUGUUCCCGAUCGGAUUGCUAUUACUUUGUGGAACGUUUCGCCGAAUGGUUCACGGAAUAUCGUCGUUUUUGUGGCGCAAUUUGUCCCAUAGGAAUGAAUGGCAAAGCUAGAGUGGGAGCUACCAAAAGCUGAAAAAUCAGGACAUGAUUUCUAAACUGCCACCACUCCCUCAUUUUCAAGCCCACCUACGCAAAUCUUAUAUCAAAACGUUCAGCUAUCCCUGCUGCCACUAAACAUGUAAACAGCUAAGCCGUAGUCCUGAUAGUUUUCACAAUAUGACCAUUUGUUUGCAACCAACGCCGUCCAUUGACAUUCAUUGAAACUUCACUCUGCAAAGCUCAAAUUUCAAGUGCAAUUUCUAAACUGCGACUGUGCCUUCAUUUUUAAUACUUCAGAGACAUACUAUGCAUCAAAAUGUAGGUCUGGGUCUUGUGAUUCUCACAAUAUAAAGCUAUUCGCUGUAGGAUUUAUAGUUUUUAAAAUAUGACCGUUUGAAGAUGGCAACCACCGAAAUACUCUGACCUGUGUCAAGCUGCAGCAGCAAGUGAUGUCAUAGACAGGGCCUUUUGAACACCUGCUAAUGUUUUUAUAAAUGUAUGGUUUAAUGUAACUGUGCAACAACAUUGCAAUUAAAUGUGCUAUAUAAAUGAUAACAGUUACUCCGCCCACUCCAGUUGUAGACUACAGGUGGAAGCAAGAACACUUCACACAAUUUCUCCAGAAAUUGUAACUUUUCUAGUUAUUAUUAUUAUUAUAGCAAAAUUUGCCACCCUAACUCCUCCCACAGUUUUUACACUACAUAGACAAAAAUUUACCAAAACGUGCAGAUUGUUCCCGAUCGGAUUGCUAUUACUUUGUGGAACGUUUCGCCGAAUGGUUCACGGAAUAUCGUCGUUUUUGUGGCGCAAUUUGUCCCAUAGGAAUGAAUGGCAAAGCUAGAGUGGGAGCUGGCAAAAGCUGAAAAAUCAGGACAUGAUUUCUAAACUGCCACCACUCCCUUAUUUUCAGGCCCACCUACACAAAUCUUAUAUCAAAACGUUCAGCUAUCCCUCCUGCCACUAAACAUGUCAACGGCUAAGCCAUAGUCCUGAUAGUUUUCACAAUAUAAUCAUUUGUUUGCAACUAACGCCGUCCAUUGACUUUCAUUGAAACUUCACUCUGCAAAGCUCAAAUUUGAAGUGCAAUUUCUAAACUGCGACUAUGCCUUCAAUUUUAAUACUUCAGAGACAUAUUAUGCAUCAAAAUGUAGGUCUGGGUCUUGUGAUUCUCACAAUGUAAAGCUCUUCACUGUAGGAGUUAUAGUUUCUAAGAUACGACCGUUUGAAGAUGGCAACCGCCAAAAUACUCUGACCUGUGUCAAGCUGCAGCAGCAAGUGAUGUCAUAGACAGGGCCUUUUGAACACCUGCUAAUGUUUUUAUAAAUGUAUGGUUUAAUGUAACUGUGCAACAACGUUGCAAUUAAAUGUGCUAUGUAAAUGAUAACAGUUACUCCGCCCACUCCAGUUGUAGACUACAGGUGGAGGCAAGAACACUUCACACAAUUUCCCCGAAAUUGUAGCUUUUCUAGUUAUUAUUAUUAUUAUUCUUAUUAUAGCAAAAUUUGCCACCUAACUCCUCCUAGUUUUACACUACAUAGCAAAAUUUACCAAAGUGCAGAUUGUUUGAUCGGAUUGCUACUUUUGGAACGUUUACGAAUGGUUAGGAAUAUAAAUUCGUUCUUGUGGCAAAAUUUGUCCCAUAGGAAUGAAUGGCAAAGCUAGAGUGGGAGCUGGCAAAAGCUGAAAAAUCAGGACAUGAUUUCUAAACUGCCACCACUCCCUUAUUUUCAGGCCCACUUACACAAAUCUUAUAUCAAAACGUUCAGCUAUACCUCCUGCCACUAAACAUGUCAACGGCUAAGCCAUAGUCCUGAUAGUUUUCACAAUAUAAUCAUUUGUUUGCAACUAACGCCGUCCAUUGACUUUCAUUGAAACUUCACUCUGCAAAGCUCAAUUUUGAAGUGCAAUUUCUAAACUGCGACUGUGCCUUCAUUUUUAAUACUUCAGAGACAUACUAUGCAUCAAAAUGUAGGUCUGGGUCUUGUGAUUCUCACAAUAUAAAGCUCUUCGCUGUAGGAUUUAUAGUUUUUAAAAUAUGACCGUUUGAAGAUGGCAACCGCCAAAAUACUCUGAGCUGUCAAGGCUGCAGCAGCAAGUGAUGUCAUAGACAGGCCUUUUGAACACCUGCUAAUGUUUUAUAAAUGUAUGGUUUAAUGUAACUGUGCAACAACGUUGCAAUUGAAUGUGCACUACUGGUGGAGGCAAGAACACUUCACACAAUUUCCCCAGAAAUUGUAGCUUUUCUAGUUAUUAUUAUUAUUAUUAUAGCAAAAUUUGCCACCCUAACUCCUCCCACAGUUUUUACACUACAUAGACCAAAAUUUACCAAAACGUGCAGAUUGUUCCCAUCGGAUUGCUAUUACUUUGUGGAACGUUUCGCCGAAUGGUUCACGGAAUAUCGUCGUUCUUGUGGCGCAAUUUGUCCCAUAGGAAUGAAUGGCAAAGCUAGAGUGGGAGCUGGCAAAAGCUGAAAAAUCAGGACAUGAUUUCUAAACUGCCGCCACUCCCUCAUUUUCAGGCCCACCUACACAAAUCAUAUAUCAAAACGUUCAGCUAUCCCUGCUGCCACUAAACAUGUCAACGGCUAAGCCGUAGUCCUGAUAGUUUUCACAAUAUAAUCAUUUGUUAGCAACUAACACCGUCCAUUGACAUUCAUUGAAACUUCACUCUACAAAGCUCAAAUUUGAAGUGCAAUUUCUAAACUGCGACUGUGCCUUCAUUUUUAAUACUUCAGAGACAUACUAUGCAACAAAAUGUAGGUCAGGGUCUUGUGAUUCUCACAAUAUAAAGCUCUUCGCUGUAGGAUUUAUAGUUUUUAAAAUACGACCGUUUGAAGAUGGCAACCGCCAGAAUACUCUGACCUGUGUCAGGCUGCAGCAGCAAGUGAUGUCAUAGACAGGGCCUUUUGAACACCUGCUAAUGUUUUUAUAAAUGUAUGGUUUAAUGUAACUCUGCAACAACGUUGCAAUUAAAUGUGCUAUAUAAAUGAUAACAGUUACUCCGCCCACUCCAGUUGUAGACUACUGGUGGAGGCAAGAACACUUCACACAAUUUCCCCAGAAAUUGUAACUUUUCUAGUUUAAAGUAUAUGUUUCUAUGAACAGUUUUAUGGGCUGUUAAAUGCAUAAUGUUUUCAGCUGUCUUAUUUAUUUUGCCAGUUUUAUUUUCCAACUUUGAAUACUUAAGCAUAGCUUAGACACUGAUAAUGUUGUGUUUUAAUUUAAUUUUGAUUUUUAGUUCAGUAAUUUAUUUAAAGUUUAGUAUUUCAGUUUGAAAAGGAUAAUGCUUAUUUGGCUUAUUCAUCAGGUAUAGUACAGGUUUAGUGCUCUAGCUUGCAGCUGAGAUUAAAUGGCAUUUUAAUGCAUCUUUCGUCAAUCAAACAUUUCCUAGAUCUAGCUCUCCUGAUAACAGCACUACUUUUCUGGCAGAUGUAUCAUCGACUCUGUUCAAUGUUAUCAUUUUGACUGUUAUUUUCAUUGUAUUGGUUAUUUUAAUGGGAUUGUGGAAGUUGUUUAUUUGUAUAGAGAAUCAAUACACCUGGACUGUCAAUCCUCAAGGGGCUCAAAACUCUCCUAGUCAGUUUGCUAAGGUAAGGGCUUCAAUCCUGGACCUGAUGUGGUCCUUCUCCAAUAUGUGGAUGACCUCCUGUCUGCGUGAUUCAGAGGAUCUACUCUGUUCUCUUGCUGAACAAGGAUGCAAGGUGAGAGGAAUUUCUAUCCUCCCACAGCACACAAGCCCCUCCAUGCCUUUCUGGGUCUAAUCUCACUGCAGAGCCUGGAUACUAGAGGCCAUCCUCAUGCAACCUCCCUAUGAUGCCCUAAAGACAACCAUUUUCUCUGUCCCCUGAGGCAAGAUGUAGCUUCUUUACCUUACAACGUGCCAUUUUGCCAUUUCCACUGCCACUGCUCUAGGCCUUCCAGAAACCUUUCAAGUUGUUCAUGUCUGAAAGACAAGGUCAUGCCUCUGGAGUCCUCACACAGUCCCAUGGCUCCCGCCAAUGCCCCAUUGGCUACAACAUCUGUCAACUGGAUCCUGUGGCAAGAGGAGGCCCCUCCUGUCUUUGAGCUGUCUUUGCAGCUCAUGCUCUCCUGGACAAGACUAAUGAUUUGAUUCUUUGCCACAAACUCAGGCUGUAGCGUCUGUCUCCUUGCACCUCACGACAUAGCUGCCAUCCUCAGCCAAGUUUAGCCCAAGCACCUCUCAGCUGCUCGCCACCUUCGCUUACAAUGUUCUCUCCUGCUGCCAGACAAGGUCUCCCUGCAGAGGUGCUACUCCCUCAACCCGGUCACUCUUCUGCCACUUCCCAGGGGGCGGGGGGGGAGGAAAUGACACCCCGCCUUUCCCUCUUUUCACCCGAUGGUUCAGAAAUACUCCAGGACCCGAACCCUACUAUGAAGAAGACCUGUUCCAGUUGGUGGAGGUGCAGCUCACCAAAACAGAUCUGUUCCGUGAUCCUAAUGGCAAUUAUCUAGCCUUAGUCCACCUGCCUCCAGAGGUAGCUCAUACCACCACUGGGACUUAGCUGUCCCCUACAUCUCCUUCUCCAAGUCCCCACAGACCUCAUGGGAAGAACUUGGCCCAUUGGCCAAAUCUUGGAACACUGCAGAUCAGACCCAUCUUUCUGAAGAAGGUGUCACCAAGCGAAACCUGAAUUGCAAGACAACUGGCUAUCACAGAUUCCACACAGAAACAUGCACUGAAACCCCACCCACAGACCAAUAUCCAGAUGCACCUCAUGAUUGUUUGAACAGACGAAAAUGGAAACAACACACCUCCCAAAUGUGCAUGAGGCUGCCCUAUAUGAACCUGAACUCACCCAGUUUGUGGAUGACUCCAGAUAUGCUGAUGAAAAAGGAAGAUGCCAUACUGGAUUUGCUGUCACUACAGUGGAUAAAGUACUCCAAGAAUCCCUCAUCUAUGUCUGCUCAAGAAGCUGAGUUCCAAGCUCUCACCACAGCAUGCAAAAUCUCUGAAGGAAGACACGCCAAUAUCUACACUGCCACAAGAUAUCCACUAGGCGUGGCACAUGACUUCGGAUCAAUCUGGUAGACAAGAAGAUUUCUCACAGCAUGGAUGCCUUACUCCUUCCUGAAGAAGUGGCCAUACUGAAGGUAAAGGCUCAUGGAAGAUUGAAUUCAGAAGAAACACAAGGCAACUAUCUAGCUGAUCAAGCUGCCAAACAAGCUGCACGUGCACCAAGGGAAGUGGACAGAAAAGUGUCCGCUGAAGAAACUCUCAUUCAUUAUGCAGACCCUACCCACAGAUCUCAAGCUCCUGAAGAGACAACAAGCGGCUGCUGAUCCUGAAGAUAUGCGAAGCUGGAAACAGAAAGGGGCAACCCUUAGAGACGGGCUGUACUCCAACAAUCUCAAGUUCUGUUUACCCAAGAGCAUGUUGUGGCAAACCUAGCCACUUGGACAUUAUUUUGUACUGUCUCUUUAAGUGUUGCCGGUAUGGGGUUCCUAUUGUAUGUUAUAGCGUGUAAUGUAAUGCACUGUUAAUAAUGUAUUGCCCUUUAGGGACAUGGUUUUGGCAUGAUGGAUUUGUGUUGUGCUGCUGCUGGCCCUUUUAAGAACCAUCUGGGGACAUACUGUGGAGUUACUGGGUGGCCACCAUGUCCUGUAUCAGAAGCACAUGGUGAGAACAAUGGAUGGCGGCCAUUUUAACUCACAGACACUGUGUGGACUUUUCAACACGGUGCCAUCUCGCCAGUAUUUGUUGCACAGAGACAUCGUGCGGUGGUUUUGGACUAUACAGCAGGGGACACAUUAUACAGUGAUUGUUUUUUAUUUAGCCUGUAUAUGUUCUGCAGAAUCUGCAUUAAACUGUAUUUUCCAUAAAAGUACUGAACGGAUCUGGGUGAAUUUUGGCUAUGUGGUUCACCCAGAUCCCCCAGUUCCAAGGAUAUACUUUUUAUGGGGUUAUUGUAUGUUUUGGGGUCCCUGUGAUGUGUUUUAUGAAACCCAUUGUGUUCAGUAAUCAUAUCACAGCCAGAGGGGAGGAUUUUGUGUGGGAGUGUCUGGGUGUAUUGUAUGGAUUGAUUGGUUGUUUUGUAACGCCCUGUGGGCUGUACUAUGUUUGGAUUGGGAAUAAAAGAGACUGUAUGUGACAAUACAGGGAGUUCCUGUUUUAACCCUCAAAGUGAAGUGUCGUCUCAUUAUUGAGGGAAGGAUUUCUUGUAUGCUGUUCCAGUUUGACUGCUAGGAGAGUAAACCUAUUCGUAUGGUUCCUAUUCAACGGUCUACAGCAUUCAUAUGCUUGAGAGAAGGUAUACGCUUCUCUGGUUCGGUGAUUGUGGUGUCAGCUGCAGUGCUUGGAGUCCUCAGGAAGCGCUAGGAGCAUCUUUCAACUGAGGUACCCAGUCGGGGUGCCAGGCGAUCCAUUACACAUGUACUCACCAAUGGUCCACUGGGCCCAUGGAGCACAACACUUGAUCAAAAGAGUUCAUGGGGUUCUUGGACAACAAAUACUAUGAAGCACCUAGAAUUACCUCUCUGACCAACAGUUACUGCAGAUCCUGCAUCAUCUGUGCCAAAUGCAACCCAGGCAGGAUGGAGAAAGCCCCCACCCGAAGCAUCUGGCCAAACCUAAACCUCACUACCCCUUUCCAAAGAAUCCAAGUUGACCACAUCCAAAUGCCAAAGAGUGGCCGGUUUGAAUAUGCACUAGUUAUAGUGGAUAUGUUCUCAAGAUGGCCAGAGGCCUACCCAGUCACCAAUAGGAGGAGAGACCGCAUGCCAAGUAGUACACCGUGAAAGUUUCUGAGAUCACCCCGUGGAUUCACCACUGCAGAAUCAAGCCUGCCUCUGCUCCAUGGGAAGUAACGUUUGUUGAUCUUGACGACCCUUUGUAACUCCGUUUUAAGAAAAUAAAGAUACUUGUUGGAGAAAAUAUCAACAGGUAGGUGUUUUGAUGGCCAUAAUAAUGCCUAACCACCUGCCAUCGAUGGAAAGCCGAGGACCCCAAAAGGAGACCUUGUGAAGCCAAAGAGAAUCAGACGUACUCCUUACCCUGCAGCCCUCACGUCUGGAAGCUGAGGUUCCAACGCACUGCUGAAGCUUCUUCAGGAUUAUCUGCUCAUCUUGAGUUUGUGGUAAUAUUAAUAUUGAAUAAAUGAUCUGAGUCCACCUGUACUGAGAUAGCACGGUUAAGGAUUUAUACGAUAAAGAAUAAGUAAAUGUGCCCUGGAUAAGGUUAUUAUGCCCAUACACAUAAUAUCUGACAUACCACAUUCAUACUUCAGGACAAAAAGAAGCACCCUUGUACAAGGCAGUUUUGACCCACACAUAUAUAUUGAUGCCAUAGUGGUUCCAAGGGGGUGGGGGGGUACCAAAUUAAUUCAAGGUAAGAGACGAAGUUGCAGCAGGGUUUGAAUCUAUUCUCCCAAUUAUUACUGCUAAUAAGAAUUUGAAUUGUAUUAAUUAUAUCUAUUAUAAUCAACACCGUUUUGCUAAUUAUACCAGAGAUGCCCCUUAAGGAAAAAGGAUGGGUAUGUAAAAUACUCCCUGACACCAUGACAUGUACUUUCAUCCCAGAUAAUACAGGCCCAAAUGGCAAAGUAACCUUAGCAAUAGAGAAACCGGAGAGUCUCUCUGAAGAAUUAAAAAUUAAUUCUGGGGUCACUGAUCUGUGGGAAAGAUUGUUUGGAUGGGUGAAUAGUUGGCAAAAAGUUCUGGUCCAGAUAGGUGUGGCUGUCUUGAUAAUGUCGAUCAUCCUUGUUCUUAUUGUUUGGUGUGUUUUAUCUUGUAUUAAAAUGUGCCUACAGAAGACCGUUGAUCAGACCACCCCGACUUUCCUUCACCAAGAAAUAGAUGACGAGGACUAUGACAAGCCACAUUCUCCUUUGCAGUCCCUCCACACCAAUCACACAAUUACUUCCUUUUAGGGACGGUAGGGAUAGCGUCUGUCUUUACGGACAAAGUCUGUAGUGGAGGAGGUAGUGGGCAAGCCACUGCUUGUCCUAUGCGCAGCAUCAAAAGAGUUCGAGACCUGUAGGACAGAUGUGCUGCAGCCUGUUAGUGACUGAUUUAGAUUUUUAGAUUUUGUUUUGUAGUGGUUAGGAAAUAGUCAUUUUAAGGGGGGACUGUUGUGGACGUAAAUUAAUGUUAGUAAAAUUUAUUUUUACUUAGAAUUGCUGUUGGAGCAUCCCCUCCCAUCCUGUGUUCAUUAACUGCUCAAAAUGGCUGCUUGAACCACCCCCUCCCAUCGUGUAAAGAAUGUCAUCUGCUAAGAUGGCGUCUCCUCCAGAGAGCCUCACCUAGAAUGCUGGUGACAUCACACUUUGGAGGAAGGGCUUAACACUCGACCAAUUAAAGAUGUAUUCUCUCUGUUAUCUUGCUUUCUGAAUAUGAUGUAUUUCUGCCUUUAUAAGGGGCUCCCUGCCCCCUGAUUAAAGAUUCUGAAGUUUUUCAUUAACCUGAAACUUGGUGUCUCAGUGUGAUUUACUUCAGAGCGUGCAUGCUUCUAUUUUGAAUCAUUUGGACAGGAGCAGAUACUCAGAUAAACAAACACUUGGUUUGAUCCAAAACACAGGUAACCCUGUAAUAAUAAAGUUUCAUGAAAUAACAGAGGGAUGUUUACCAGAGGUAAAGUAACAUUGACUGUGCCAUUUUUGAGUUGUGUGUGGAUGAAGUCUGUGCAAAGCAGGAGGUCAGACCAAUAUUGCUAAUUAUGAGAAAUAAAAUCACAAAAACGUUUCUAAAGAAUGGUUAGCUGUCUCAUUUGUUUGAGGAUUGUCAGGGUAUUUAUAUCGGCAGACAUCUUGUGCUAUGAUAGAAAUUAAAAGUGUAUAUUAAAUACUGAGUUACUUUAAACAGAGCAGACACCAUUUUGUUAUUUUCAAGUUAACAAAAGACACAAGAUUUCUAUCUGUAAAACUAACCACUUUCCCAGAGCUAAAGGAAUGCAUAGUAUAUACAAACCAAGUGAGGGGGUUGGAUAGACUGUCUAAAAUGUUAAUGGAAUAGAUGCAUAUCUAAACACAGACAUUUGUGACAGAGGAGAUUAAAUAAUAAAAUUUUACUUUCUAUAUGUACAAGAUCCCAUUGCAAGUUUAAGGUGAAACUUAGUUCAUGAACAGCCAUAUUAAAAAUUAUAGCAGGAAUUGCGGACACUAAGUCUGGACAAAACUAAGAGAAAAUCAACAAGGGCAGCCAAUCAACAAGCGUUUGACUCGUGUGCCCUUAGAAACCAUCACAGCCAUGCCUACUAAUGGCAUGGUUGUCAGUGGCCAGUGCAGCAUGUGACCCAGCAUAUAUAUAUAUAUAAGCUGGAGUUGUGUAGCGCCGCACGCACAUGCGGUCUUAUUAGUGUAGGGAGAGGAUACUGCCGCUGUGAGGGACAGCUUAGGAAAGAAUUCAAACUAGUACAUUAGUGGGGUGGGGUGCACUUCAUAUCUGAGAGUCAAAUAAAAGCUUCAAAUACCGCGGUUAUAUCGGAGUUUUAAAAAGUAAACAUUUUUUGGUGCUAAAUAGUACAUUAGUGGGGUGCACUUCAUAUCUGAGAGUCAAAUAGAAGCGUCUAAUAGUGUGCUUAUAGCGCAGUUGUACAAAUUUUUAUUUUCUGGGUGCUAAUCUGCUAAAUAGUACAUUUGCGGACUGCACUUCAUAUCUGAGAGUCAAAUAGGAGAGUCUAAUAGUGUGCUUACAGCACAGUGGUAAAUUUUUUUAUUUUCUGGGUGCUAUACAGUAUUUCAGUGGGGUGCACUUCAUAUCUGAGAGUCAAAUAGAAGCGUCUAAUAGUGUGCUUAUAAGGCACGUGGCCCUGGUCCUGGUGCUUCUGUUGUUGGUGGAAUCCCUGUUGCAAGAAGAGGACGUGAUUGAUCUGUGCUAGCUACAUGCACAAGUUCCUCAUGUGCGAGUACAUGACAGAACUUUCAGCGUUAUUUGGUAGGCCCGAAUACCGUUCUAUGAAGGGUGAAGCCAGAACAAGUACAGGCGAUAGUAGAUUGGAUGGUUGACAGUGCCUCCAGUUCCUGCACAUUGUCUCCCACCCAGUGCCCUGCUGAAAGCUCAGAGUUGGCACAUGCAGCCCAUGGCCAUCUGUCUAUCACCUCACCCCCUUGCAAAUCACCCAAGCAGUCUGAGUUACAAGUCAUGCAGUAGUCUCCUAUGCUUUUUGAUGACUCUGCUGGUGGGUUUCCAUGGGCCAUCUACCUAGCCCUGCCCCAGAAGUGGAAGGGAUUGAGUGCACUGAUGCACAACCACUUACGUGUGAGGAUGUGGACAUGCAAAGACCACCACAGCACGUCUCUGAGGAAGACGAAACACAGUUGCCAACUGCUGUGGCUUUCGGCAGUGUGCAGACUGGCAAGGAGGGAUGGGUUGAGGAGUGGGUGGAGGAUGAUGAGGUCUUAGACCCCACAUGGAAUGAAGGUCAUGAGAGAGUGACCUGUGCAGUUUGGAGGAAGAGGCGGUGGUCACACAGAGGCACCAGCACAGCAUAAGCAGGAGUAGAGUGCAAAAGCGGAGCGGCCAUCCCCUAGACGGUACGCCUGUUACUGACCACCGCACACAGGGACCGAGAACACCAAAGCCAGCUCCAAGGAGUUCCCUGGCCUGGCAGUUCUUCACACAAUGUGCUGACGACAAGACACAAUUGGUUUGCACGCUGUGCAAUCAGAGCCUGAAGCGAGGCAUAAACGUUCUAAACCUGAGCACAACCUGCAUGACCAGGCAUCUUCAUGCAAAGCACGAGCUGCAGUGGAGUAAGCACAUCAAAAACCAAGAAAGGUCUCAGGCUCCUCCUGCUUCCUCUUCUGCUGCUGUCUCUGCCUCUUCCUCCACCUCUGGAGUGACAGUGGCACCUGCCACCCCACAAACAGAGGAUGUGGCAGCAACGUCACCACGUCCGCUACUGUCCCCAAGCAGCUCCACACUGUCCCAUGGAAGCGUUCAGCAGUCCAUCUCCCAAAAUUCGUGGCCUUUGAAAUGCUGUCAUUCCGUCUGGUGGAGACUGACAGUUUUAAAAACCUGAUGGCGGUGGCUGUCCCACAGUACGUGGAUUCCAGCCGAGCCAUCCCUUCCCUGUACAACCAAUUGGCGGACAAAAUCAGGUGUGCACUGCGCAACUCCAUCAGUGGCAAGGUCCACAUAAGCACAGAUACGUGGACCAGUAAGCAUGGGCAGGCAUGCUACAGUUGCAAGAAAAUGUAUAUAAACCAUUUGGAAUGAUAUGGAUUUCUGCACAAAUUGGUCAUAGAUGAUGAUCAGAUCACAUUUUAAGUCACAACAAUAGACAAUCCUGUAGUUGCAGAUCAGAAGUGCACAACAGUCAGGAGUAAUUCUUGACCAUUCCUCUUUACAGAACUGUUUCAGUUCAGCAAUAUUCUUGGGAUGUCUGGUGUGAAUCGCUUUCUUGAGGUCAUGCCACAGCAUCUCAAUCGGGUUGAGGUCAGGACUCUGACUGGGUCACUUCAGAAGGUGUAUUUUCUUCUGUUUAAGCCAUUCUGUUGUUGAUUUACUUCUAUGCUUUGGGUCAUUGUCCUGUUGCAACAGCCAUCUUCAGCUGGUAGACAGAUGGCCUUAAGUUCUCUUGCAAAUGUCUUGAUAAACUUGGGAAUUCAUUUUUCCUUCGAUGAUAGCAAUCCGUCCAGGCCAUGACGCAGCAAAGUAGCACCAAACCAUGAUGCCCCCACCACCAUACGUCACAGUUGGGAUGAGGUUUUGAUGUUGGUGUGCUGUGCCUCUUUUUCGCCACACAUAGUGUUGUGUGUUUCUUCCAAACAACUCAACUUUGGCUUCAUCAGUCCACAGAAUAUUUUGCCAGUACUGCUGUGGAAAAUCCAGGUGCUCUUGUGCAAACUGUAAACAUGCAGCAAUGUUUUGUUUGGACAGCAGUGGCUUUCUCUGUGGUAUCCUCCCAUGAAAUUGUCAAGGUAUUUAUAUCGGCAGACAUCUUGUGCUAUGAUAGAAAUUAAAAGUGUAUAUGCGGAGUCACUCUAAACAGAGCAGACUCCAUUUUGUUAUUUUCAAGUUAACAAAGAGACACAAAAUUUCUAUCCUAUCUGUAAAACUAACCACUUUCCCAGAGCUAAAGGAAUACAUAUUAUAUACAAACCAAGUGAUAAAGAGAACGGGGGUUGGACAGACUGUCUAAAUGUUAAUGGAAUAGAUGCAUUCUAAACCCAGACAUUUGUGACAGAGGAGAUUAAAUAAUAAAAUUUUACUUUCUAUAUGUACAAGGUCCCAUUGUAAGUUACGGGUCAAAACUCAGAAUUUGCCAGACACAUAGUCUGGACAAAACUUAAAGAAACUGUUUGAUCUGACAGAAAACUUAAGUUAUGGCCACGAUAAAGAUAAAGCCAAAAUGACGUCAAAAUAGCCACCAGGAAAAGUUAACUCUUUCCUGGAUAGGUAUGUUUAGUGGGACAAGACUGCCCUCUAUAGACCAAAUAACUAAAUUGCGAUCUGGAAGAUAACCACACCCCCAGUAUUGCUAUUGGUUUAGCAACUAGUGAAUUUUCCCUUUAAAAGUUAAGACAAAGACAAGGAGAGAAGGGUAUGCAAAGAAAGCAAAGAAGUGAGCAGUGGGGAGCAAUGACACUCUAGGACACUCAGAAAUUCCUACACACCUCCAUGCAGAGAGACAUCCAAACAAGUUCCUGAGACUAUCUACCAAUCGGAUGAAAUAUCUACUCAACUGGUAAUUAUACUGGUUUCAUUUAAUUAAUUAAAUUAAUUAAAAUGUACUAAUAUCAUGAUAUAUGACUGGAUAAAUCACAGUCAGAUUUCCAUAUUUAAGAAAUCUUAGUUAACUAAAGAAUAUAUAGUUAUAAACAUUCCAUUCUGCAGGUGAAAUUAAGAAUAAUUAUAUAUUGAUGUGAUAUUAUCACGUGUUAGCAUACCGCUGUUUUUAUCCAGGUGUAUUGAUUUGCUCUAAUAUAAGAUAAGAUACCUUUUUAGGCGCAUUAAAAAUCUGCUUAUAAAAUCAUGGUAGAUUCUCUUAUUGGAUGGUUCCAGGAAAUGACUAAUGAACUGGUUUAAAUGUUAUUUUAUUUAAAAUUACAUAAGAAUAGAUCUUAAUUACCUAGGAGAUCUAGCCAGCAUUGAAAGGGUUAUUUUAACUGAUAGCCAGGGUUUUAUGGCCCUUCACUGUGAAAAGCUUCACUUUCAGUCUGUAAGGAUACCCUCAUAAAUCGUGUAAGUCUUGACAGAAAAUGCUGUUUAGCCAUUGAACGUGUAUAGCCAUUCCUUUGUAUUGCAUAUCAUUUUAUACUGGAUAUUCAUUGAUUAUUGUCACGCAUGUUACAUAUUAUUAAUUAAUUGUUAUUAUAAAAUAAAAUCUAUUUUUUUAUAACAUGAAAUACAUUCCACUUAACACGAUAACGAUCUUUGGGAUCUGAGAAUUGAAUUAGUGGGCAAUUCUCACUGUUUACUAUUAUUAUCCCAUAAAUAUCCCCACAAAAUAUAUUCUUGUUUAGUGUUUUACAUAUUGUAGAUUCGCUAACAGGGAUCUUAGCAUUUGCCAGUGACUUUUGUAAGUCUUUAGCUGACACUCUAGGAUUCUUCUUCACCUCAUUGAGCAGUCUGCGCUGUGCUCUUGCAGUCAUCUUUACAGGACGGCCACUCUUAGGGAGAGUAGCAGCAUUUAUAGACAAUUUGUCUUACCGUGGACUGAUGAACAGCAAGGCUUUUGGAGGUACUUUUAUAACCCUUUCCAGCUUUAUGCAAGUCAACAAUUCUUAAUUGUAGAUCUUCUGAGAGUUUUUUUUGUGUGAGACAUCAUUCACAUCAGGCAAUGCUUCUUGUGAAAAGCAAACCCAGAACUGUAACCAACACCUCCAAUCUCAUCUCAUUGACUGGACUCCAGUUGGCUGACAUCUCCCUUCAAUUAGCUCUUGGAGAUGGCAUUAGUCUAGGGGUUCACAUACUUUUUCCACCUGCACUGUGAAUGUUUACAUGGUGUUCAAUAAAAACAUGGCAACAUUUCAUUCUUAGUUUAAGCAGACUGUGAUUGUCUAUUGUUGUGACUUAGAUGAUGAUCAGAUCACAUUUUAUGACCAAUUUGUGCAGAAAUCCAUAUCAUUCCAAAGGGUUCACAUACUUUUUCUUGCAACUGUAUAUGUCCCUCACUGCACACUGGGAAAACGUAGUGGCAGCUGGGCCUGAUGCAGAUAGCAGUUUGGCGCAUGUCCUUCUGCCGCUGAGGAUUGCAGGGCAUUUCUCUUUGCCUCCUGUUGCCUCCUCCUCCUACUCCGCUUCCUACUCCUCUACCACCACCUCAUCUGGGCAGUGUAACACCUUCACAACCAACUUCAGCACAGCCAGUGGGAAACGACAGCAGACUGUUUUAAAACUGAUAUGUUUGGGGGAAAAACCCCACAUCGCGCAGGAGCUGUGGAUGGGCAUGGAACAACAGACCGAUGAGUGGUUGUUGCCACUGAGCCUCAAGCCCAGCCUGGUGCUGUGCAAUAAUGGGUGAAGUCUCGUAGCAGCUCCGGGUAUAGCAGGUUUGCCGCACAUCCCUUGCCUGGCGCAUGUGCUGAAUUUGGUGGUGCCGAAAUUCCUUAAAAACUACCCAGAUAUAUCAGAGCUGCUGCAGAAAGUGCGGGCCAUCUGUGCGCGCUUUCGGCGUUCUCACCCUGCUGCUUGCCUGUCUGUGCUGCAGCGUAACUUUGGCCUUCCCGCUCACCGCCUCAUAUGCGACAUGCCCACAAGGUGGAACUCCACCUUGCACAUGCUGGAGAGCCUGUGCAAGCAGCAGCAGGCGAUAGUGGAGUUUCAGAUGCAGCAUGCACGGGUCAGUCACUCUGCGGUAGAGCACCACUUCACCACCAAUGAGUGGGCCUCCAUGCGAGACCUGUGUGCCAUUUUGCACUGUUUUGAGUACUCCACCAACAUGGCCGGUGCCGAUGACGCCGUUCUCAGCCUUACUAUCCCGCUUCUAUGUCUCUUUGAAAAAAAGCUGCAGGCGAUGAUGGAAGAGGAUGUGGCACAGGAGAAAGGAGGAGGGGUCAUUUCCAUGGUUAUCAGGCCAGUCAUUCACAAGUGGCUUGGAGGGUGGGUUCCUGCACCAGCAUAGGCCAGGUACACAAUUGUCCAGCCAGGGCACAUUUCUGGAGGAUGAGGAGUGUUCACAGCAGGGUGGCACCCAACGCAUAUCAUGGGCAUCACUGGAGCGUGGCUGGUGGGAUAUGGAGGACACAGACGAUACACCUCCAACAGAGGACAGCUUGUCCUUGCCUCUGUGCAGCCUGGCACACAUGAGCGACUACAUGCUGCAGUGCCUGCGCAACGACUGCCAUGUUGCCCACAUUCUAACUUGUGCUGUUUACUGGGUGGCCACCCUGCUGGAUCCACGUUACAAGGACAACGUGCCAUCCUUAAUUCCCUCACUGGAGCGUGAUCGGAAGAUGCGCGACUACAAGCGCACGCUGGUAGACGCGCUGCUAAGGGCAUUCCCAACUGACACCGGGGACUCAGUGGAAGCACAAGGCAAAGGCAGAGGAGGAGGAAGAGGUCGCCAACGUAGCUGGGGCAACGCCAGCACCUCAGAAGGCAGGGUUAGCAUGGCCGAAAUGUGGAAAAGCUUUGUCAGCACGCCACAACAACCAGCACCACCAUCUGACAUGGAACGUCUUAGCAGGAACAGUACAUGUGCACACGCCUACACGUACUGACUGAUGGGUCUGCCCUAUUCAACUUCUGGGUCUCCAAAUUUGGCACAUGGCCUGAGCUUGCCCUUUAUGCCUUGGAGGUGCUGGCCUGCCCUGCAGCCAGUGUAUUGUCUGAACGUGUGUUUAGCACGGCAGAGGGCGUUAUCACAGACAAGUGGAGCAGCCUGUCCACAGCCAACGUGGACAAGCUCACAUUUAUUAAAAUGAACCAGGCAUGGAUCACACCAGACUUGUCUGUAACUUGUGCAGAAUAGACAUUUAUAUGGCCUCACCCAGCCAUUGUUAUACUCCAGUGCACUUAUUCUUUGUUUUCUUUUUUUUAUAUAUGUCUCAAUAUUUUGGGGGCUACCCCAAUUAAAAAAAAAAAAAAAACAAUGUUGGCUACCUCCUCCUCCUCCACCGCUGCUUCCACCUACACCUCCACAGUCACCGCCUCCUCAACCUAUGGGUCACUUAGUAUAAACUAGGUACACAUUAGCAGAGGCUUGUAAAGGCCUUUUCUCCAUGCAUCAGGAGUUGAGCAUUUCUACAUGCAUCAGGACUGCAAGAAAUGCACCGCAGACCGCAAAUGUUUAUUUUGUUGUAUGUCCCAAUAUUUUGUGGGCUACCACAAUAAAAAAAAAAAAAAAAUGAAAAACAGUGUUGGCUACUUCAUCCUCCUCCUCCAGCGCCAUGGUCAACGCCUUCUCAACCUAUGGGUCACUUAGUAUAAACUAUGUAUACAUUAGCAGAGGUUUGUCGGACCCGAACAUCCAGGUGUCUGCUCAACUCUAGUCACGACUUAAAAAACUUCUCUUCUUUCUACUUGUGGAACAUAUAACUUGUCAUUAAAGUUUCCCAGCACAAGUUUGUGUGUGGGCUGCCUGUAUUUUCUCCAUAAAUGAAAAAGACAUGCUUAAUAAGAUAGUUGCUACAAUACAUUAUAUUACAAUUAAAAUGAGAGAAACAAUGAUCAUCUUGAUUGUCUAGAUUAUGAUCACUUAAGAUCAUUCCCCUAAAUGUCUCUACUCUUUAAUGCAAGAAUUAUGGGCACCAAUUCCCUGUUUCCAGUGUCAUAGUUGACUUCCACAGGAGAUCAUAUCUUGGAUAAAAGCCACAAGGUUGAAGAGUAGUAUCUUACAUAGUCACUGUCAUGUUCCUGAGCAGUUUAGGGAAUAAGAUCCAUGAACUUGUGGCAAUAAUGGCAACUGAUAGUGUAGAUUUAGUUGCUGUUACAUGGUAUAAUGAGAAAAAUGACUGGGACAUAGCAAUACCAGGGUACUCUUUAUAUAGAAAAGAUAUGGAAGGCAAGAAAGGGGGUGGGGUGGCCUUGUAUGUGAAAGAUAGCAUAAAAUCUAGCCUAAUAAAAGUUAGUGAGGCAAACAGACUCCGUUUGGGUUACGUUAGAAUUUGGUAAUCACACAGUAACUCGUGUAGGUGUGAGUUAUAGGCCCCCAGGACAAAUUGAAGAGUUAGAUAAUCUACUAGUUGAGGAAAUAGCUAAAAUGACAAUGAAGGGGGAAGUUAUCAUCAUGGGUGACUUUAAUAUUCCUGAUGUAAAUUGGAAAACAAAAACCGCUGCUUGUGCCAGGAGCACACAUAUUCUAAACUCCCUACUGGGAUUGUCUCUAAAACAAGUUGUUGAGGAGCCAACUCGUAAAGAGGCCAUACUAGAUUUAGUGUUAACAAAUGGAGAUUUGGUAUCAGUUAUUACUAUAGGUGAAAGUUUAGGAUCCAGUAAUCAUCAGUCAGUGUGGUUUAAAAUAAGAACAGUGACUGAGUCACACCACACAAAAAUAAAAGUUUUAGACUUUAGAAAAACAGACUUUUCUAAAAUUAGAAUAUGUGUAGAGGAGUCAUUAUCAGACUGGAGCAAUUUAAAUGGAGUCCAAGAGAAAUGGGAUUAUUUAAAAGUUGCCCUACUGAAGGCAACAGAAAAUUGCAUUAGGAUUGUCAGUAAAAUAAAAAUUUCAAGAAACCACUGUGGUACUCCGCAGAUGUGGCCAAAAUAAUUAAAAACAAAAAGUUAGCAUUUAGUAAUUAUAAAAAAAAACCCAGAGUGAGGAAGACAAAAUGUUCUAUAAGAUUAGGCAGAAAGAGGCUAAGCAAGUUAUAAGAGCUUCCAAAUCACACACAGAAGAGAAAAUAGCACAGUCAGUAAAAAAGGGAUACAAAACUUUUUUUAGAUACAUAAAUGAGAAAAGAAAACUAAAACAAGGAUUAGUUAGAUUAAAAACAAAAGAAGGAAGGUAUGUAGAAGAGGAUAAAGGUCUAGCUGACUGCCUCAAUGAAUAUUUUUGUUCUGUAUUUACAGAUGAAAAUGAAGGAAAGGGACCUCAGUUGAGAAAAAGGAUAAAUGAGUCAUUUAUUACACGUGAGUUUACAGAGGAAGAGGUUCUAUUUCAACUGUCAAAAGUAAAGACAAAUAAGUCAAUGGGACCUGAUGGAAUACACCCAAAGCUAUUAAAAGAGCUUAGUGGUGUACUAGCAAAACCAUUAACAGAUUUAUUUAACCAAUCAUUGUUAACAGGAUUAGUCCCAGAAGAUUGGAAGUUAGCGAAUGUUGUGCCCAUUUACAACAAAGGUAAUAGGGAGGAGUCGGGCAACUAUAGGCCAGUAAGCCUUACUUCAGUAGUGGGGAAAGUAAUGGAAACCAUGUUAAAGGAUAGGAUUGUUGAACAUCUAAAAACAUAUGGAUUUCAAGAUCAGAGAUAACCUGUGUUUACUUCAGGGAGAUCAUGCCAAAUUAAUCUUAUUGAUUUUUUUGAUUGGGUAACUAAAUUUUAGAUCAGGGUGGUGCAAUAGACAUUGCUUACCUAGUUUUCAGUAAGGCUUUUGACACUGUUGCACAUAGAAGGUUUAUCAAUAAACUGCAAUCUUUAAGUUUGGAUUCCAAUAUUGUUGAAUGGGUAAGGCAGUGGCUGAGUGACAGGCAACAGAGGGUUGUAGUUAAUGGAAUAUAUUCGAAGCUUGGACUUGUCACCAGUGGGGUACCUCAGGGAUCUGUACUUGGACCCAUUCUCUUUAAUAAUUUUAUUAGUGAUAUUGCAGAAGGUCUUGAUGGUAAGGUAUGUCUUUUUGCUGAUGAUACUAAGAUAUGUAACAGGGUUGAUGUUCCAGGAGGGAUAAGCCAAAUGGCAAAUGAUUUAGGUAAACUAGAAAAAUGGUCAGAAUUGUGGCAACUGACAUUUAAUGUGUAUAAGUGCAAGAUAUUGCAUCUUGGACGUAAAAACCCAAGGGCAGAGUACAGAAUAUUUGAUAGAGUCCUAACCUCAAAAUAUGAGGAAAGGGAUUUAGGGGUGAUUAUUUCUGAUGACUUAAAGGUAGGCAGACAAUGUAAUAGAGCAGCAGGAAAUGCUAGCAGAAUGCUUGGUUGUAUAGGGAGAGGUAUUAGCAGUAGAAAGAGGGAAGUGCUCAUGCAAUUGUACGGAACACUGGUGAGACCUCACUUGGAGUAUUGUACACAGUACUGGAGACCGUAUCUUCAGAAGGAUAUUGAUAACUUAGAGAGGGUUCAGAGAAGGGCUACUAAACUGGUUCAUUGAUUGUGGGAUAAAACUUACCAGGAAAGGUUCAAGGAUCUUAACAUGUAUAGCUUGGAGGAAAGACGAGACAGGGGGGAUAAUGAUAGAUACAUUUAAAUGCAUAAAGGGAAUCAACACAGUAAAGGAGGAGACUAUAUUUAAAAGAAGAAAAACUACCACAACAAGAGGACAGUCUUAAAUUAGAGGGACAAAAGGUUUAAAAAUAAUAUCAGGAAGUAUUACUUUACUGAGAGGGUAGUGGAUGCAUGGAAUAGCCUUCCAGCUGAAGUGGUUAACAAAGUAAAGGAGUUUAAGCAUGCGUAGGAUAGGCAUGAGGCUAUCUUAACUAUAAGAUAAGGCCAGGGACUAAUGAAAGUAUUUAGAAAAUUAGGCAUACUAGAUGGGCCGAAUGGUUCUUAUCUGCCGUCACAUUCUAUGUUUCUAUGUUUCUAUGAACAGGUCGAUCAGAGAGGAGACAAUUGCCAGAGUUAUUGGUUGAAACUUUGUCUUUUUAGACAUAACAAUUUACUUGAAAGAAAGAAUUAAGGCAAUAUGCCACAAAAAGGAUACUUUGAGAGUAAAACAGCAAUAUGCCACAAACAGAAUAUCUUGAAAGUAAAUGAAUAAAGUAUUUUAUAUACAAGUAGGUUUGACGUUAUUCCCAAAUAGAUUAGUAGUCUAUGGAAUGUCACACUGCAGCUAGGUUCAGGAUGAUACAGGGUUUAAAUGGUUAAAGCUGGUAAGUACUUUCAGUAUAAUAUAGUACAGGUUGCUUAACCCCUUAAGGACCAAACUUCUGGAAUAAAAGGGAAUCAUGACAUGUCACACAUGUCAUGUGUCCUUAAGGGGUUAAAGGAUUAUGCAGAGUUGCAGCAGUUGAUUAUACAGAUUAUACAGAUUUCAGUAUAAUGUAAUACAGGUUGCUUACAGGAUCUUGCAGAGUUGCAGUAGUUGAAGAUAAGAGUUUCAGGAGGAUUCCGGCGACGGGACACACAGAGUCUAAAUAGAGGAUCAGGAUGUUUUCAGGAGCCAGGAUCAGAAGAUCUAUGUCAGAACACUGACUUCAAUGUAUAGACCAUGUGAAAAGUUGGGUGUGGCCUUUUAUAGCAGACUUGGAAGAUCAUAUGAGGCAGGUGAGUGCAACUGAGGAUUGACUAGUGGCUAGAGAGGCCACUAGAGGAGAGAACAGGUAUUGCAGCAAUAAAAUAAAACAAUAUCUUGAUUGUCAGGAUAGGAUCCUGACAGUUACAAAGGCUGAAAAGAGACAUGUGUCCAUCAAGUUCAGCCUUCCUCACAUCUGUGUUUUGCUGUUGAUCCAAAAGAAGGCAAAGAAACAGUUUAAAGCACUUCCACAUUUACAACAAACUAGGGAUUCCUUCUUGACCCCAGAAUGGCAGUCAGAUUUAUCCUUGGAUCAAGAAGCUAUUACCCUACAGUUGAAAAAUCAUAUAAUUGAAUAUUAUAUUUACAGCCUUUGAUAAAACUACUUCUUCAGGUAGAGAAUUCCAUAUCCCUAUUGUUCUUACAGUAAAAAACAACAACUUUCAUUUACCUUAGACCAGUGGCGGCUCUAGACUUGGCGAGGCCUUAGGCGAAACUCAUACAUGAGUCAACUGUAUACAUCGUUGCAUUGUCUACCUGUGUGUGCCUGAGAGUGUGUGUCUGGCAAUGAGUAUCCUUGUAUAUGUAUGUAUGUUUCUCUGAGCAUGUGUAUGUUUGUGUACUGCCUGUGGUCUUUGGCACCAAGUUUAUGACAGCGUGUAUAAUGAUUGCCUUCAGGGGGUGACAGGGUGAGUAAAGGGGUAACUGUGGCAGGGUGAGUGUAAAAGAGCAGGAGGGUGUCAGAGUGUAUGGAGGGGGGUGCCAGAGUGUUGAGGGUUGACAGUGAGAAUGAAGGGAGGUGCCGAGUACGGAGAGUGGUGUCAGGGCACUCACGUGACCCGGCGUUAAAGCCACAAUAUCUAAUCACAGUGGGAGGUAUAGAUAUCUCCCACGUGUGAUUAUUAAUUCUGAUUGGAAGUUAUCCAAUCAGAAUUAAGCACAGCUGUUAUAUACUUACCUUUCCUGUCUCUGUAUUCCUGUCUUUCCUGUGUUGCAGUUUGUUCAUGUUGCUCUCUGGUUACCGUUUAUUUGGCUCGUUAUUCCGACUUUCCUGUAUUCUCCAUUCCUUUGACCUCGGCUUGUUUCUCGUUCUCGUGUUUUCUGGCUCCCUUUACUUGGCUUGUCUCCUAACUAUUCUUAGUGUGCUUAACCCGGCCAUUCUAAGGACCGGUAUAGCACCCUUCCUUCCUGUGACCUGUUAGCGUGUUAGGUUCCCGAAUCGUGACAUUACAACAGGGCCACCAUGGAACCUGCUGACAUUCCACAGCUGUUAGUAAAUCAGGAGGCUAGAAUGGAUCGUUUAGACCACCGUAUGGAUCAGUUUGCCCAGGCUUUACAAACCAUACUGUCUCGUACUGCCCACUUGCAACCUGCCGUUCAAGAAGCUGUUGCUGCUGUGCCAGAACCCAUUCCCGAUCCAGUACCCGUUCCUGCUCACGUGGUUCACAUGACGCCACCACAGUGCUAUAGUGGUGAUCCAGCAUUGUGUCGUGGUCAUUUGGUGAUGAAUCCUCGUUCCUACCCCACUGAUAGAACCAAAAUUUCUUUUUUAAUUAACCACUUGUCCGGGAAAGCUUUAACAUGGGCUAGUCCCAUGUGGGACAAUACGUCCCCGAUGUCCUUUGCAGACUUUUUGACAGCUUUCAAACGCACAUUUGAUCUACCCGGUAGGGCUGCUUCAGCUGGCAAGGCUCUGCUUAGGGUCCAACAAGGUAAUAGAUCAGUAGCGGAUUAUACUAUUGAAUUCCGCACUCUAGCAGCUGAAGUGGUUUGGAAUAACGACGCCCUCGUAACAGCCUUUCAGGAGGGUUUGGCCGCUUACAUACUAGAUGAAAUAGUGUCCAGGGAAUUGCCUGUUCUCUUGGAUGACGUAAUAGAUUAUAUCAUUCUCAUUGACAACCGUAUUAGAGAGAAGCGUAGUCAAAGUAGGAUGAAUACAUAGGUGCUACCUGCUUUACCCAGUACUGCAUUACCUCAACCAUCUCCCGAACCCAUGCAAUUGGGUGCUAUAGGGUUGACUGAAACUGAAAGAGCAUAUCGCAGGACAGAGGGGUUAUGCCUUUACUGUGGAAAGAGGGGGCAUCUCCGAAGAAACUGUCCUAAUUUGCAGGGAAACUUCAGCACCUAAGGCCUAGAGAGGGGUCGGCCUCGGGUGUUAUGACUUUUUCCCCUCAUGUCUCCAUCUCUAGACCAUUUAUUAAGGUUACUCUUUUGGUCAAUCAGACUACCAUAAAAACCAAAGCCUUGAUCGAUUCAGGCGCUGCAGACAACUUUAUGGAUGAGAACUUUGCUAAAACCGCAACCUUGACUCUGAUCCAAAAGGCCACACCCUUGGCCGUUGAGGCCAUAGAUGGUAGACCACUUGAUAAACCUCUGGUGACCCAUGAAACCCAAGAAAUGGUUAUGACUGUGGGUGCCUUACAUAAGGAAAGGUUAACCUUCCAAAUAAUUGACUCCCCUACAGCUUCCAUUGUUCUGGGUUUUCCCUGGUUAGUUAAACACAACCCAGUACUUGAUUGGGGUUGUUUGGAUAUACUCUCCUGGGGGAAUCUUGUCAACGAGACUGUAUGGCCCGUUUACUUUCUGUUUGUUUACUUAAUGUGCCAACAGCUAAACCACUUUCUGUUUCUGUCCCUUCUGUGUAUGCAGACCUCGCAUUGGUUUUUGAAAAAAGGGAGGCUGAUAAGCUACCUCCAUACCGGGAUUAUGACCGUGCCAUAAACCUGUUACCAGGUACUAUGCCCCCUAGGGGUAAGGUCUACCCGCUUUCUGAGAAAGAAAAUCAGGUCAUGAAGGAGUACAUAUACGGGAAUCCUUACGUAAAUGUUUUAUCAGAAGGCCCUCCUCUCCUGCUGGUGCUGGUUUCUUUUUUCGUUGCUAAGAAAGAGGGCGAUUUGAGGCCAUGUAUAGACUACAGGGGUCGGAAUAAUAUAACGGUUAAAAACGCUUCUCCUAUCCCUCUCAUCACUGAGUUGUUUGAUCGUGUUAAAGGUUCUAAAUAUUAUACUAAACUAGACCUCAGGGGGGCUUACAACCUGGUUUAAAAGAGAAUGAUGAAUGGAAAACAGCGUUCAAUACACGCAGUGGGCAUUAAGAGUAUCUAGUCAUGCCUUUUGGACUGUGUAAUGCUCCUGCUGUGUUUCAGGACCUCAUAAAUGAUGUUCUUAGAGAUUUACUGCAUAUCUGUGCCGUAGUUUACCUUGACAACAUACUUGUAUAUUCUCCUGAUUUGAAGUCACACCAUACUCAUGUGAGGAUGGUACUUAAGAGAUUGUUGCAGAACGUUCUUUAUUGCAAAUUAGAGAAAUGUUUAUUUGACCAAAAAUCAGUACAAUUCCUAGGGUAUGUCAUUUCUGAACAGGGAUUCAGCAUGGAUCCUUCUAAAUUAGAAGCCAUAUUGUCUUGGCCUCUUCCCCAAGGCCUUAAGGCAAUACAGUGAUUUAUAGGCUUUUCCAAUUAUUAUUGGAGGUUUAGUAAAAACUUUUCAUCCGUUAUUUCUCCAAUCACGAAACUGACUAAAAAAGGUUUGCAACCCAGGGUUUGGACUCCUGAAGCCGUUAAAGCCUUUGAGACUCUCAAAAAGGCAUUUGCCACUGCCCCUGUGCUACACCAUCCUGAUCCUUCCCUUCCCUUUGUUAUGGAAGUAGACGCUUCAGAAUCAGGUGUAGGAGCUGUGUUAUCACAAAGACAAUCGCAUACCGAACCCCUCCAUCCCUUUUCUAAAAGGCUGUCUGAUUCGGAAAAGAAUUACGACGUCGGGAACAGGAAACUAUUGGCUAUUGUGAUGGCUUUUAAAGAAUGGAGGUACUUAUUAGAAGGAGCUAGACACAAAAUCCUGGUUAUAACUGAUCAUAAGAAUCUCUCCUAUAUAGCAGAUGCUAAAAGGUUGUCCUCUCGUCAGGCCAGAUGGUCUUUAUUUCUUUCACUCUUUCAGUUCAUUAUCACAUAUAGGCCUGGAUACCGUAAUGUCAAGGCUGAUGCUAUCUCCAGACAGUACGAACCUUUGGAGUCGAUUGCCCCCGCUCCUGAAACCAUUGUACCUACAUCUAAGAUAAUAGCUGCUACCCGUUUGGUUAUUUCGUCUCUUUUCCUUGAUGGUAUCAAGACAUACCAAUCCCAAGCACCCUCUGAGGCACCUGUUGGUAGAUUAUACGUGAAAGAAAAAGACAGAAGAAGUUAUUAGCUUUAUUUCACACCGCCAAAACUGCUGGUCAUCCAGGGGUUACCAAAACAUACAAGGGGGUCUUCUUCAACAGUUUUGGUGGCCCUCACUUAAACAAGACGUGGUAGAUUAUGUGCAGGCUUGUCGUGUUUGCACACAGUGUAAAUCCCCUAACAUUAAACCCCCGGGACUCCUAAUGCCCCUUUCUGUACCCGAGAAACCAUGGACUUCAUUGUAGAUCUUCCUUCAUCUGAUGGACAGACAGUAAUUUUGACUGUGACUGAUAGGUUCUCUAAGAUGGCACACUUUAUUCCCCUUAAAAAACUACCUUCUGCGGUUCAGUUGGCUCGGGUAUUUGCCAAAGAGGUGUUCCGCUUGCAUGGUAUACCUCAGGAUAUCGUAUCCGAUAGGGGUCCUCAAUUUGUCAGUGGAGCUUUUGUGCUGAGAUGGAGAUCUCCUUGUCAUUUACUUCCUCCUAUCAUCCACAAUCCAAUGGAGCUAAUCAAUCUGUGGAGUUAUAUUUACGCUGCUUCACUAAUGCACACCAGGACAACUGGUCUCAUCUCCUUCCCUGGGCUGAAUUCGCCAGGAAUACUCAUUCGUCCACUGGCUUAAAUCCUUUUAUGGUUGCUUAUGGCUUCCAACCCUCUGUCCUUCCCGGUGUGUUCUACGACAAGGGAAUGCCCGCUUUGGACGAGCACCUUGCCUCCUUGCGGAAAAUGUGGGAUCAGGUCCAUGCUGCUCUCUCCCGUGCGGCUGCUACUCAGAAGAGAUUUGCUGACCGUUAUAGGUGUGCGGCUUCUUCUUAUGCCCCGGGUGAUAGGGUUUGGUUGUCCUCUAAGAAUCUCCGCCUCAGGGUUCCCUCGAUGAAAUUUGCGCCCCUGUUCCUUGGCCCCUAUAAGGUAUUGCGUAGGGUGAAUCCCGUGUCCUACUCUCUGGCCUUGCCUCCUUCCAUGCGUAUACCUAACACUUUUCACACCUUCCUUUUGAAGCUCUUGCUCUGUAAUCGAUUCUCUGGUCCUCUCCGGCGUCCGGAUUCCCUCCGCACGGUCUCCAGUGAUGUGUACGAAGUGGCUGCUCUGCUUGAUUCUCGUUUUUCUCGAGGUCGGUUGCAGUAUCUGGUGGAUUGGAAGGAUUACGGCCCUGAGGAGCGGUCUUGGGUUUCUGCCUCUGAUUUGAAUGUGCCCUCUUUGAUCCGCUCCUUUCAUGCGCGGUUUCCUUUGAAGCCUUUGGCAUCCCGCCUGCCGGUCCUCGAAGGGGGGGGGGAUAUGUCAGGGCGCGGUCUCCCCUUCCCCUACCUGUCGGCGAGCGACGUCCUCUCUGCGCUACACGCCGCUCGUGAUCUCCUCCUCGCCUCCCAGUGGCAGCAUGUGUAACACUGCACGCUGGGAGUCCCCGCAUAUUUGUAAACGCCAGGCGUUAAAGCCUCGGUAUCCUAAUCACAGUGGGAGGUAUAGAUAUCUCCCACAUGUGAUUAUUAAUUCUGAUUGGAAGUUAUCCAAUCAGAAUUAAGCACAGCUGUUUUAUACUUACCUUUCCUGUCUCUUAGUGCCCUGUUGUGGUCUUGUGUUACCUGUAUUGCAGUUUGCUCAUGAUGCUCUCUGGUUACCGUUUAUUUGGCUCGUUAUUCCGACUUUCCUGUAUUCUCCAUUCCUUUGACCUUGGCUUGUUUCUCGUUCUCGUGUUUUCUGGCUCCCUUUACUUGACUAUUCUUAGUGUGCUUAACCCGGCCAUUCUAACCUAAGCUUAGCUUUUCGGGUGUGUUUAAGCCCUGCGCGUUGUGGGAGAUCAUUGUAAUAGAGGCCAUUUGUGGCAGUUUGAAUUCGGUUGGUUAAGGCUGCUGUGGUGGAGAGUAUGUCAGGAGAUGUUCAGCUUUGUCCCUGAUGCUGAUAGGGUUGUCCCGGGAUGUGCAACUAAAACAAAAUAAUAGGUGUAACAAUUUCAAGUAUAACAAAUAACUAUGUACAACAAAUCGUUUCUUGUGUGUGUGAGGCGGUAUACCUUGGUGAAACUAUGUAGGCUGGUGUCGGCCCCUGUGGUGGUCCUGAUACCACAGAGGGUAAUGUGUUGUGUUUGUGACACCGCCUGUAGUGGAGGGGUGUGAAGUGUGUAAGAAAUGGUGUGUGGUUCGUGUUUCCAAGUGGUUUGCCCACUGUAAAACAUUAGUGGAAAGUGUGUUUAACCACUGAAUUGUGUGCAUUAGGGAUGCAGUUUUAAUAGGUUAUUGAUAUCCAGGUGUGUCGGCACUUAGUGCGUAUGUGGAAGAUUAAUAGUGGAGGUGUGAGAUGUUGUAACGGCAGGGGUCUCUGAGGGCCCAAAGGUUGAUGAUUGGUCCCAGGUUGUGUUUUUUUGUGUGUGUGUGUGUGUGUGUGUGUGUUUUGGUUAUGUUUUUAUCUUGAACUUGUGUAGUUGUGAAAGAGCUGUCCCGAUGCCCCUCCUCCCCUGUCCCUUCAUCUUCUAGAGUCUGGUGUCUUACAUAGCCAUAAUUUUUCCCCUAGGUUAGGUGCCUUAGCGUGUCAAGGAGAAGUACUUGAAAAUAUUAUCAUACAGUUAUCAGCAAUCUAGUAGCAAUCAUGUGUAAUACAGUUUAUAAAUAUUAAAUAAUAGAUACUUAUACGACCUGUGGAUGAUCCGACCUUCAGAGUUACUUAGAAAAUAAGAGAAGGGGGAAUACUAUCACCACUCCUCCAAAAGAUGUUUGGUCGGGGCUAUGUUUUGUGCGUUUUUGGGGUGAAAUUCCGCUGGGCGAUCUGGGUUUAUUGCGUUUUGGCCCGGAGCGGUGUGCAGACACGUCUGUUUUCUUUCAGUGCUUAGCUCCGCCAUUGGCAACUUUUUUAAACUAAAUGUUGCCAGGAUUUUCCAAAGAUACAUAAUUGCAAAAUUCUUCUAACAUCUCACAUCUCAAUACUGUUAUUGGCACUACGACAUUCACACAUAAAAAGUUGAUGCUCGGCCUUACAUAGUUUUAACAGAACAAAAAAUGCAUUUCUAACCAACGUAAAUCAAAGAGACUAAAGCAGGAAGGACAGUGACCUGGGAUGAAGGGGCAGUAACCUGGGACUGGAAGAUGUCCCAUCUGCACCAUACUUUUUGGAAGCACGAACAUGAACCUGAUACGCUAUAUGUUAGCUCCUUUUAAUUAUGUGGGGAUUGUAGGUCUGCAGUGACUGGUCAUAAUGGGUGAGGAGCCACACUACCGAAGCACCGAAACGUGCGUCGGGUUUCUUUUUCUUUCUGUCACUUAACUUUCACUGGGCACUCUAUUGACAUGUGCAGGCAACCAACAAUAAAGUAAGUACGCUUUAAUUUCUACUUUGUCACCUCCUUUACUGGUCUUGAACCUUGCUUUGUUUAAAUAUUUAAGGCUGAUACAGUGGCAGGAAGGGCUAUAGUGGCUCAUCCUUGAAUUUCAAUCUGCGACCAUAAGAUACACUAUAUCUAAGUUGCACUAUUUAUUCAACUGUAGCAGUUUUUUCUCUAGCUAUGUUGAGGCAUUUUGUAGCUGUGUUCUCAUAAGCCCGUCUUUUUUACCCACCGUAUUAGUCUAUCUGUACUCAGACUUAUUAGGUAGUGUCUCUUUGUUUUUGAGACCCUCUCAUUAAGCUACCGACAGUCCUUCAGAUAUAUAGUUAGCAUUUGGUCUCUUGACCAGUUCCCUAGGUACAUACAUAUGUCUUACUAUCCCAGGGACAUGACGUUUUAAUCUCUAUGCUCUAAGACAUUGACCUCAUGAGAUAUAAUUAAAGUCUGUAGCAUUAUAGAGAUAUAUUUAUAUACAUUUUCUGACUAGGGCAGUUGGAGGUGUGCCAUUAGGCAAGAUUGUUAUCCAUUGGAUUCUGACUAUUAGGAAUGGGUAUCUAUGUUGUACUGUCAUCAUUUCUUUAUUUAUCAAGUAUUUAACAUUACUAUGAGUUUUUCAUUCUUAAUUUAAUUCCAGUUUAUACUCUAAGCGACUGGAUAUUCUAUCCAGUGGUGGGAGUAUUUUUUUGAUUCUACGCACAGGGGUUAAGCCCGAGGACACCUCUGGAGUAUCCAAUUAGGUGUUUCUCUAUGAGUGUAGGUGGGAUCGUAUUUUGGACCACCACCACUUGUAGAUCUUUCACUUAGAAAAUAUCUAAAGGAGGUAUACAUAUGGAUAACUCACAAUAGUAGGCACAGUGGUCCAGAUUUCAAUAAGGUGAAUUUGAAGUGUUUCCCCAGGUUAUUGUUGUAAUGAGAUCAGUGCAAUAAGUAAUUUGCACUCAUUGUUUUAUAUUCAUUAUGACUGAUAAUGUUAAUCCAUAUUGCUAAUGUCUAUUUAGUAGAUUAUAAAGCCGUUUAAAAUUUAAUUUCAAUGUACUGUAACAUUUAUUCAAAUAGUUACUCAAGGAUUACUCCCAAUUUGUUAUAGUACGUUUAUUUCGAUGGCAUUUUAAAAUACAAGAUAUAAAGUUCAACUUGUGCGUUUUUAAUCAGUAUUCUUAAAUUAAAUGCAUUUCUGAAUAAUUAAGAAUGCUUUAACAUCGUGUUCAUAUACAUCACCUGUUCUUUAUACUACACAUCUAACAUAACAAAGAAUGAAUUGGGAAUGUAUUUACAAUUAGAAAAGAAGAGAAGGGGGAGAGGUAAUAGAAUGAAUACUAUCACCACUCCUCCAAAAGAAAAGGUUACAGGAGGUAUAGGGGCUUAACCCCGAAAUUAAUACAGAAUAGAGACAGCACAGAAUAGGGUAGGGGAUCCACUCACAACAAAUGGGUGGAAAACCUAGCCCACUCAGAAAUACCUCCUAGUGUAAAAGGGUCACAUUAAUGGGGUAAAUAACCUUUAUUAGAACGUACUAAACAUGUAUAAGGAUUGUGGAACUUGAACUCCCAAGUAUAUUCAAAACAGAUAAGUGGGUGCAUAUACAUUUAAGGAACAGAAAAAAACUAGUCAUAUCUAAUUAAUGCAGCUAAAUGCAAGAUGGAAAUGUAGAAAAGAUCAUCAAAAUAUGAAAUGGACACAAAGCUACACUGACUAAUUAAGUCACCUCAAAAGAUGCUUUAAAAAAUGCUUCAAAAUAGGGGAACUUGGAUAGAAAUAUUUAUAUCAAUCCAGUGGAUUUGGAAUUAGUAUGAAAAAUAAUGGCAGUGGCAGAUUCCGAAUAGGAGGUAAAGGCAUAAAUUUCACCCCAAAAAUGCAAAAAACAUAGCCCUGACCAACAUGGGGCGAAAGCUUAAGAAGCAGAAACCCGACAAACCCAGGCCGGGAAUAAACAUCGGGGAAAUGCUCCGUCAAGCCCAAAAUGGCGGCCAACAUCACCGACUACUCAGACUCCUCAGAUGACUUCUCGCUGAGUCUGAGCAACACUGCAACACCGGCCCCGGCUCACCCACAACCAGUCCCUCGGAGCACUGACGCCGGUGACAGAGGCAGCCCUGCGGGAGAUGCUCACUGACCUGAAGACAACGAUCCAGGCAGGCGUGGCCUCGCUCCAGGCAGAUCGCACAGGCCACGUGGGCAGGCUGGGGGCUGACACAGACUCCCAGAAGACCGCUGCCCUCACUCAAGAGGUCCUGGCCCUCAAGAAGCAACAGGCCACCAUGGACCUGCGCUUCACAGACCUUGAAGACAGGAGACGUAGCAAGAACCGCAAGCUAAGAGGAGUACCCGAGGACAUACCAGAGGCGGAAAUCCCGCAUUUCCUAUGGAGACUGAUGGCAUCCCUACUCACGCCACGACAGGCCAAGAACAUAGCCUUCACAGGAGUGUUCCGCAUACCCAAACCACGGAAGGCACCGACCGCUGCACCCAGGGACCUGGUGGUCCAAUUUCAAACCAUUAGAGAGAAAACGGCACACACACACACACACACCCUCCCUCUCCAGUCCAUUUCAAAAUUUGUAUUUGGAGGGAGAGUGGCACUGGGCACCUUUUGGAGCGAAUCCAUUAGACAUGUAUGUGUUUUGGAUCAACAGCAAAAAACAAAUGUGAGGUAGGCUGAACUUGAUGGACGCAAGUCUCUUUUCAGCUAUGUAACUAUAUUGGUUAAUUAAUAAUCAAAUGACAUAAAAUAGUAACUUCUUAUCAUGUAGCUAGCAAUAACAAUCUAAUAAGCAAAUUACAUUCUAAAUGUAAUGUUUAAAAUCUUCUACUCCCCGGUCAGUGUCGAGACUAACCUGAUAGUGGAAGCAAGCCAUCAUAUUUUAAUAAGACAUUAUUAUUGUUAACUUUUUGUCAAUUUCUUAUGUACUUAAUAACCAAUGCUGGGUUUUACAGGUACUAUGAUUGCAAGGUGGUGGUGGAAAGGAAGAUGUCGUUGCAGUCCGCUGUGGGAUUCAGUGAGUGGCAGACGUGGCUCAAAGACGGGUUCCUUUCAGAGGCUGUUCUCAGACUUGGUGCUGAUACGGAAGAGCCAGCUUUGCAGGAGGGAGCUGGUGAGUAAAAUAGUUAUAAGAGUAGAACAGCAGUAAAUUAGCCAGUUCUACAGAGAUCCAACAGAUCAAAUCUGAUUUGGUCAGAGCAUCCAUGAUCACUUCACUUCCUAGUUAGACACAUGCAAGAAAUAUGAAGGUGUCAAAUAUUUGCCAUUUUAAAUAAUUUUACUGCAGUAAUCCAGUGCUUGUAGAAAGAUUAUUAAUUAGUAAAGUUAUAUUGUGAAAUAAAUUCACUGUCUCUCUUAAGGCCUUAAACUGACAUAUUUAGCUAGACCAACCAUAUUUUUCUCUCCCUCUAACAGUGGAACAAUCCUGCCCUCCCCCUCAAAAAUGUACCAAAAGCUUCACAUCCUGGAUACUGUAUCCAUGGUUGACAGAAAUGUCCUCCAAACAGAUUUCUGUUAAUAUCCUGCAUCUUUCACCCCCCUCCUUUUUUCCUCUCACUCAAAGCUGUUAAAUCUGAUGUGUUAUUAUGAAUUUUGUUUUAGCCUCAGUAAUGCAUGCAACUUGGUCUUAAAAGCUUGCAAUCAGACUCUCAGUAAGUAAAAUUAAUUUCAUCAUUAUAAUGAUGACAUUGUUUUAAAGUUCACUAUAAUUCACUAUUAUAAAUGUGAACUUACCUUUUGCUUUACUUUUUUUUUCUUUUUUUCCAAGGUUCAUCAACCUCAUGUGGCGGGGGGUCGGCUCCAAGCACACCUCAGCCAAGUUCUGGUGACUACACAAACACUAACGAUAAAUAAUAAUGAACAGCGUUUAUUCAGCAUUAAAGGAACACUCCAUUGCCCCCCCAAAAAAUUAAAAUAUAGAAUAAAAUAAAAAAAUAAACAAAUAAAAAUCUCUGUUUAGACGAUUUACCCCCAAUGAAAACAUACAUGCAUUUAAUUUGUGCAUUUUUUCAUUGGGGCAAUAUCUAACAGCUUGCAGAACCAGCAGUUCUUGUCUGCCGUCUUUGCAAGCACUCCCCUUCUAUCCCCCGCCCAGGCUUUCUGUAGCUGUCCAAUCACAGACUUUCAAAUGCAGCUGAGUAUUCCUUGCAAGGCAGGUGCUCUGGGCUAUUGACUGCCUAUGGAGUUUAGCUCAGCUGAGCUAACCAAACCAGGAAGUAAACUGACCAGUUGUCUGCUUGAAAGCUAGGUGAUGUUACCAAGUUAAUUUAUUUAAAAGUGAUAAUUUCUAAUAAAAUCUGAACUUUUUAUAAAAUGAAGAAAAAAAAAAAGACACACUCAUACAUAAAGCAUUACUUAUAAUGCGUAACUAGUGCCAAGAGUACCCUGGCCCUCUUGCCAGGCACCUGUUAUGCUGUCAAAUCCUGCUUCACAGCAGAACAGCUUAUGCACAGCUGUUAUGCAAAUCCUGCUGGCUAUUCACUGGCUGAAAGCAUCAGAUUCAGCGAACCGUUCUCAGCCAAUUAAUGGCACCCAGUGCAAAGAAAGUUCACAUUAGCAAGCCAAUGGCACACCAGUGAACAGUGCCAGAGGUAGAGUUACACCUUUUGGGAGUAAAGGGCUUAAUCUCUGUAUGCGCAGCACUUCCCAGCGAGACGCUGCACAUGCAGACUCCAGACACCAUGACCACUUCAAAUCACUGUAGUUGUCAUGAUGGUUGGAUUAACCCUUUAACUAAUGCCAUUCUUGGUAAUCUAGCCAAUCAAUGCAGAAUUUGCUUAAAUCACUGAUAGAGGUGCUUUUUCACUUCACUCCCAAGGCUCCCUUUACCUCCAGUAGACAAUUAAAUAGCCAGAUUAGUCUAAGAUUUACUCACAAAAGGUCAAAUAUCUGCUGAAAUCCCAAAAUGGCAUUUAAAAAAUUAAUAUUGGAAUGCUGAUUACGAGGUUUAAACUUUACUAUCAAAAAUGCUAGAGACAUUUCCUUCAGAAUAAGUAACCUUAAGAGGCAGAGAGUGACAUCAGCAGACUGAAAAGUAGCGAUUUUUUGACAGCCGCAAAUCUUCGCAUGGUCGGUAACAAGUUCUGUAUAGCAUGAACACUAAAGCACCUAUUGCUAAGGUCGUCUCCCUGCCCGCCCCGGUACUCAUAGAGGAGCACUGGAGGCCUGAUGUGCAUGCGCAUAAAUUUCCCCCAUAGGAAAGCAUUGGUUCAAAUUAUUAUUAUUAUUAUUAUUAUUAUGCCACUGAAGGAGUGUUUAACAAUGCAGAUGGAAACAUUGCAGUUUCUCAAACUGAAAUGUUUUACAUUGCAUGGUUAAACCUACAGGACCAGACUUUCAUCUUAAAGAAGUGGUCUGUGUGACAAUAGUGUCCCUUUAUAACAUUCUAUUCCAAAACAUUUCCAAAAAUUGUGAGUGAAUUUGCAAGUAAAUUCAACAUCUGGGCCAAAACAGCUUAAAAAUAUUCUCAAAUUCUGCGCUUUUACCGUAUCAGCUACUUUAGUCUAGAUCUUGCAGUUCCCUUUCACAUUCACCCACCUUAAUGCCCUUUUUAAUUUUGAAUCAUAAAAAUUUACCUUUUUUUAAAUUUUAAUAAUUGGAUACCAAAAAAAAAACCAAAAAAAAAAAAAACAACAACCUGCAAACCUCUUAAUAAAAAAUAAAAUAAAACCUACACCCCCCCAUUAAUUAAAAAAAACCCAAAAACCUGCACAUCCCCCUACACAAAAAACACUCCACCAACUUCACAAAGUUCAUACAGCCAGGGCCGCCAUAAAGGUUGUCAUAGCCCUGACGGUCCUGGGGGGCCCGGACUACUCUGGCAGUCCGAGCCCCACAUUUCUUAUGUGCACAUACACACACAUAUAUAUAUAUAUAUAUAUAUAUAUAUAUAUAUAUUCUCUAUCUGUGCACUGAGGGUCCCCUGCUACCUGUAAAUUGCAGAGGGGGUCCCAGCAGCACACUCUCUUACUUCUUUUCCAGCUGCUCUCUGUCUAACUUUCCUGCGGCCGCCAGAGCGUUGCCACGGGUUACCAUGGCAACACUCCGCAAAGCACGCAGGCCGGUCUCAUGAGAGUUAGUCAGACGAGCUGGAAAGGAAGACAGUGCUGCUGGGCCCACUCUGCACUACACACGCUGCAUUCGCUACACACACACGCUACAUUCGCUACACACACUGCAUCUAAUGCAUGUACACAUUACACAAAACUUACAAUCUGCAUCCACUAUACACACUGCAUCUAUGACACACGUACCACAUCCACUACAUACAUUCUACAUCCACUAUACAUACACACACACACACACUUUAUCCUUGUGGGCGGACUCAGGGCUGGCCCUGGGGGCCCAGAUCUUGAGCUGUGUCAGGGGCCCUAAAAUUUCUGAUGGCAGCCCUGCAUACAGCCCCUACACAUAAAAAUUCUGCACCCCACCUACACAUCAAAUUCAUACACCCAACCUACACAUAAAACCCCUGCAUGCCCCCCUUAAUAAAAAAUCCUGCACACCCAUUAACUGCACACACCUCCUUAAUUAAAAACCCUGCACAACCCCCCCUUAAGUAAUAAAAAAGACAUGCACACCACCUUAAUUAAAAGAAAAGCCUGCACAUCCCCUUAAUAAAAAAAAUAAAAUAAAAAAAAAAACCUGCACCUCCCCAACCCUCCCUUCACAUAAAAUUAUAUUCUCUACUCACAUUUGAUAAUGCCUCUCCGCUGACCUGCUCUGCUCCGAGCCUCCGACCACUGGUGCUUCACAGGAUGAUGGAUCCUUCCGCUCCGUUAAGGUGGACAGGCUGCAGCAACACACGUCUGCGUGACUUCAGCGUCACACUGAGUGACGCUGCAAAACUCCUGCCACUGCUCCUCCAUAUUGCUGCAAUCAGUGCAGUAUAGUGUGGCCGCAAAUGCACCAUAUGAAUUGAUGGGGGGUGGUGACUUAUGACACUGCCAGUCAUUGCAUCCCCUAGUGAGUGGCACCCCGGGUGGGCAGCCUCCCCCACCCCCGUUAGUACGCCACUGGGGUUACUGUAUCUAUUUAACAGGUACAAUUUUUAUCUCCUAAAAGGACCCCUACAGGCACCCAGACCACUUCAGCUCAACGAAGUGGUCUGGGUGCCAGAUCACCCUAGUUUUAACCCUGCAGCUGAAAAUAUGGCAGUUUCAAAGAAACUAAUAUGUUUACACUGCAGGGUUAAUCCAGCCUCUAGUCGUUGUCUCCUCAUGGAGUCCAGUGUCAAAGAAGAUCCCCAUAGGAAAGCACUGAGUAAUGCUUUUCUAUAGGCGGGUUUGAAUGCGCCCGCUUCUCUGGCCGAGAAUGCGCAUUCAUCUCCACUUGGAAGCGGACACACAGCUCACGGAUACAUGUAAUAAGGUCUACAACAUGUCCACAAAUCCAUUUGCUUGCAUGUUACCAACAUUGCCUCUCUCUUCUAUUUCAGGUCAAAGGCAAUCUGUUGGGAGAGGCAAAGAGAACAGCUCGCUUCAUUAACCAGUCCUCCGGUCACAUUAGGAGAGUGUGAUUGAGGUGGCGCUGUCUUCUGCAGAAUUGAUUGCCUGAUCCCUGGAGGAGGACAUAAGCCCAGGGUCCAGCUUUAAGACUACCCACAGUGUAACUGCACAAGAGCCAUCCAUCACACCACUACCUGUCCAGCCACUGCCACCUCUCCAGACAUCACCUGGCCCAAGAGGAUCCAUGCUGCGGAUCACUUAAUGCGCAUGAUAUUUACAUGCUGGGCUGCACUGAUAACUUGGAAAAGUAAAGACUAUAUCUUGUUGGUAAAAAGGUAUAAAAGAUGGAGAAACUUGGCACUCACUUGGAAAACUACCCACCUGUAAUACGGACACGUAUUGCUGGUCUCUGCUGUUCCCAGAAGAGAGGGUCCCUCCAAGUCUGACUGCCUGAGUUCCCCCAGUCAUGUGCAGCAAGGAGACAACCAAGCCCCUCUAAUGGUAAUUUAUACUUAAGCAGAUAUAUCUAGAUACUAAGCUGUUUGAAGUGAAUGCAUGCAACAACUUAAAGAGUAAAGCUUACUGUAUUGAGUCCCUUUUGUGGACAAAAAAAGUGUGGCGUGAAUUCUUAAAUCCAACUUGGUCUCUGUGUGAUUUCUCUUUCCUAUAGUUCAAGAUACUCAUCCCGAACUGGGUUGUGUGCCCACCAAUAUCAUUAUAAACCUUAUUAGGUAUUGAUUAUUACUUUCUGCAUAUUGGUGUUCAUGAAUUUAAUGAUUAGGCACAACAUUUUGGCGCUGCAAGCAGGGUUGAGUAUUAGUUGAACAAGUAAAUUUGAAAUCAACAAUUUAAAAUAGUUUAACUAAGAAUAUUGUGUUAAAAUUUGUUAAGAAUCGUUUAAAAUAAGAAAAUUGUGUUUAGAAAUUGUUAAAACGGUUUAUGUAGAUUGUGAGUAAAAGUGAAACUAACAUUGUACGAGGUUUAGUUUCUGCUGCGUCACGAAGGGAAAAAAAGCAAUUUACAGGCUUAGUUUCUUUUGAGUGCUGCAGUAAAUAUACUAUAGAGAUUUGAAGAUUAGAUAACAAGCAUUACUGUUUCCAAAGAUUCUUUGAACAUUGUGUAAACUUGAAAAUAAUUGCAUGACGUUGCAAGAGCAAGAUUGAUGUGUGAAUGCUCAAUCUAACAAGAUUGAGGAGCAGUGGCGUACACACACGAUCCACGGGGCCCCGGUGCGAAAAUUGAUCCGUGGGCCACCCCCCCGCUUACUCUACGCGGGUCAUGGCCCCAACACAUGGCGGCGGGCACCUUGUCUGCAAUCGCGCUAUGUACGCCAUUGCAUGCAGAUACAAACACUUAAAGGACCACUAUAGGCACUCAGAUCACUUCAGCUCAAUGACGUGGUCUGGGUGCCAGGUUCCUCUAGUUUUAACCCUGCAGCUGAAAACAUAGUUUCAGAGAAUCCAGCCUCUAGUAGCUGUCUCACUGACAGCCGCUAGAGGCGCUUCCUCAAUUCUCACUGUGAAAAACACAGUGAGAAGACACUGGACGUCCAUAGGAAAGCAGUGAGUAAUGCUUUCUUAUGGGCGGUUUGAAUGCGCGUGCGGCUCUUGCCCCGAAUGCGCAUUCGGAGCUGAGAGGGGAGCGGAGAGAUCCCAAGAGAGCCUGGCGCUGGAGAAAGGUAAGUGUUGAAAGAGUUUUAACCACACACACUCUCACGAACAGACACAUACACACAUUUCCUGACAGACUCACACACCAAACAGACUCUUUAACAGACACACAAACUAACACGCUCAAUAACACACACUGACCCUCACUAGUAGACACUCAAUAACAGACACACACAAACACACUCAGUAACAGACACACUGUAGCGGAUGGCACUGGGCUGUCCUGCAAAUGUCAUGUGAAUAGUUGCAUUCGUGUAAACUGCUGGUUUUAUAUGUGUUUAAAAGAAAUGUAUUCCUCUGAUUGUUCGGUAGAAUCAUUUGAAUAAACUAAGGGAAUGAAACUACCGAACAAUCAGACCUCCCCUGUGUGAAGUGUGUCCUCAAUUACAAUUGACAAGUUAAGUAGCCGUCCUUUGUUCUCGGGGGUGGCCGCCAUUCGAAAAACGAACACGUGGCGGCGGCCAUUUUAAAACUCCCGAACAGCGGUGUUUUGACGUCGAGUGUCUGGAACUCAAAUCGGACACUCGACUAGGCGAACACCGCUGAAACCUCCACAAGCCCGGUCCGUUCGGUUCCUAUCUACCGAACGGCCCCUCGGGGAUUCAGGCGAACCCUCCCUAGCCUCUAUAGCUAGAGGUUUUCGUGCCAUUCAUUCCUUGACUCCAGGACCAACCGCAGGGCCCAUUCACAUGGAACCGCAUUCGGAUGCUUCACUCAGUGCGGUCGGUCAUUUUAUUCCCUCCAUAAGUUUCCCGAACACCUGGUCUGAUCUGGGUGAUUUUUGGAUAUGUUGUUCACCCAGAUCAGGGCUACCAGGGGAUGUAUGAUUUAAGGGGGUACCCCUACGUUUAGGGGUACAUCCAGAAAUGGGGGGAAUUGCUGUACUGGAUAAGGGGAUUAUGAUGCAGGCUGAGGGGAGGAGAUGUGUGGGAGGUUACCAGGACAGGAUUGGCUACUGUACUAAUGACUGUAAAUCCCUCCCUUGCAUGGGAGCAUGCUUUAAAAGGCC
Non-coding RNA from Pelobates cultripes (western spadefoot toad), 49885 nucleotides. The record is from the annotation of a GenBank genome assembly. NCBI's taxonomy places the organism in Eukaryota, Metazoa, Chordata, Amphibia, Anura, Pelobatidae.